This 66590-nucleotide long non-coding RNA is filed under the name Lactuca sativa (garden lettuce). RNAcentral's name for it is "long non-coding RNA (LSAT_LNC000992)". Lineage: Eukaryota; Viridiplantae; Streptophyta; Magnoliopsida; Asterales; Asteraceae. The record is from RNAcentral.
AAUGAUGGUGUUGAUAGUACUACGAAUGUUGGUGAUGGAAGUGAUGAUACUUGUACUGCAAUCACCAUCCCAAGGUCGGCAAAUAUGACUCUGCUUCAAUUGCCCAACCUAACAAUAUUGGUCAUCAGUAAAUGUGAAGUUUUGGAAUAUAUUUUCACAAGUUCCACACUUGAAAGCCUCGAGCAAAUCAAAGAACUGAUUGUAAAACAAUGCAAGGCAAUGAAAGUGAUUGUGAAGGAUGACACAGAGCACACAGAAACAUCUAAAUCUAUAAUAGUCUUCCCACGUCUCAAGUCCCUUACACUUGUAGAUUUACCAGAUCUCAAGGGUUUCUUCUUGGGGAAGAAUGAGUUCAGGUGGCCAGUAUUGGAAAAGGUUAAGAUUUAUGGCUGCCCACAAAUGAUGAAUUUCACAUCUGGUCACUCCAUGACUCCGAAGCUCAACUACAUACAUACAGCCUACGGCAAGCAUAGUCUUGAAUGUGGCCUCAACUUACAUUUGACCAAUGCUACACAUGAGGAUGAGGUAUGUUAUCACUUUAUUUCAUCAUUUAACCAGGUGAUCAGCAUGUCGUUUUAUGAUGUUCAACAUAUUAUUUGCUUACAAAAAUUAGGUGGCAGGUUCAUAUUUUUAUUCCAGAAGGAAACAUAAAACAAAAAACCAAAUGAAGAUCCAUAUAUAACCACUUCCCUUUUUUAUAUCCAUAAAAAGUUUUGAAAAUAUGCAAUCUUAUUUUUUAUUAUAAAUUAAUAUUUCAUUCCUAAGAUAUUAAGUUAUCCCUUAUGUUAUGAAAGAUGUUAUAUUCACUAAUUCAUAAGUUAGCAAUUUAAUAUUUUAAUCAAGUUAGAUGAACUAAAGACAAAAGGCCCAAUUGACGCAUUCAUUGUGGGUGGUUUUUUCCAUGUCCAAAGAUUUUUGAACAUAUACAAUACUAGGUUCCGUUUGAUUAAUAUUAAAGAAAAUCUAAAAAAAGAAAUUAAAACAAUAAAUCAGUCUUUUCAAUUUUGAUACAAACCUAGUGAGAAGGACCAACUUUGUAAUUUUGGAACCACAGGGACCGUAACCGCAAAAAUCGACAAACGCAUGGACCAAAUUUGCAGUUUUUGCUAAAAAAAACAAACAAAUCUAACUAGUGGCUUGGAGGUUUGGAGUCUGGGCAAGUAUUCGACUAAAGGCAUAACAAAAUAAGCACCUAAGAAAAAGGGCUUCUAAAAUUCACAUAAUAGUUUCUUUCCUUGAAAACAGAAGAUUUAAGAAUUUAUAUCAAAUAUAUGAAUAUAAAAAAUUAUUUUCUUGUGUAUUACAAAUGAUACUUGGCAAGUUCAUUCUUAUUCAAAUCAUUUGAAAGUUUAUAAAUCAUUAAUUAGGAACUUAGAACCAACAACUUCAUUCGGUUAAGAAAAAAACACAAAAUAGAUGGAAAUAAAAGCAUUAGCUUAUUUUACAUAUUUUCACUCAUAUCUAUUAACAAAUAGAUUUUUGUAUGGAGCUAUAUUUUGUAAUUGAAUCAUUUAUAUCGUUUUCAUCCAGUUUAAUCCAAUUAUCUAACAUAUUUUAUAAUAAUGUGAUGUUAGUAGUUAAUCAAGUUGUUCUUUUCUCUCUCAUCUUCUACAAGCUUGAUAUUUAUGUAGCGUUUAUUACCUAAAUUUGACAAAAAUAGUAUUGCUGAGAUGAUUGUAAAAGUAUAAGUAUAUCAUCCAUAUAUCAUUUGUUGUAUUUGACAAUGCAAUAAAAAUACAAUAACAUAGUUAUCUUUUUUCCUAAAAAAGUUGGAUGUAAACAUUCAGUACAUGAAAAACUACCUAUUUGAAGUAGCCAAAACACUUGACUUUUACAGUUUUACUUUUUAUUUUAUCUGCCCACCCCACACACACACAAACACAAAUAUUUAAUUUUUUUACUUUUAUUUAAAAAGACUCAUCAUUGAUAAAAUCUAAAUUGUUUAAACAAAUCGACAUUCAUUAAUAAAAUCUAAAUUGUUUAAACAAAUGCAAUGUAUAAAUCAGAAUUUUUCUUCACAGUGCUCAUCUUCUCAGAAAAUAAUGUAAGCAGUGCCAUAAACUAGGUUGUUGAUUGGAAAUACAUGUUGCCUCGUUUAAAAAUAAUAGAACUUGCAAUCCUUUACUAUGUUUAUAUACUAAAUGUGUUUGUCCUUUAUAUAUAAUUGUAGUGUUUGAGAUGAUCUAUGUUUGAUUUUUCUUUGCAGACUCAACUCCCUAUGUGCUCUACUCCAGAUUUGAUAAAGCUAGUUCAAUUCCCGUGGUCUUUUUCAAAUUUAGUUGAAGUAGAUGCACAGUAUGGUGACAAAUUGUUGAAAAGCCGCAUAAUUUUUCCAUGCAAGGAGUUGCUUAAUCUGAAGAAUCUUGAAAAGCUUUCUAUUACCAAUGCCCUUGGAUCUGUAACACAGGAGGUAUUUGAAGUAGCAGAAGGGACAAAUGAAGAUGUGGAUAUUGAAACACAAUCUGUUGUGGUAUUUGAGAAGCUGAAAGAGGUGACUUUGGAUACAUUAAAUAAUCUGAAGCAUGUGUGGAGGAGCAAUCGGUGGAUAGUGUUGAACUUUCCAAACCUUACAAAGGUCUCAAUUGAAAGUUGUAAGCUUCUUGGGCACGUGUUCACUUGUUGCAUGGUUGGUAGUCUAUUGCAUCUCCAAGAGCUAAAAAUAAGUUACUGCCAGAGUAUGAAUGUGAUUGUGAAGCAAGUUGAAGAUUCCGAGACCAGACCGACUACUGAGGUUGUGUUCCCUUGUCUGAAAUCCAUAACACUUGAAUGGCUUCCAAAUCUCAAGGGAUUUUGCCUGGGGAAGGAGGCUUUUGAAUGGCCAUCAUUAGAUACUUUGGAAAUCAAAUAUUGUCCAAAAAUAACAGUUUUCACAAAGGGGCAAUCAACUACUCCGGAGCUGAAGUUAAUAGAUACAACUUUUGGAUUGUGUCAUGCAACGGAAGAUCCAAACUCUUUCAUAAAGACCAAACAAGAAGAGGUAUAUGGUGUCUCCUUUGGUUAUUAGUAACAGAUUAAUAUGUUUGAUCAAACAAAAACUUUACAUUACUCUCUAAUUUACCACUUUCUUGUAAUCUCCUACAGGGAUGGCAGUUCUAGAGGAACAUUUGAAUUCGCAUGUGCAGUUUUUCUCAUUUUGAAGUCAGCUAUAUAUAUACAAUAAUAGGUAAGAUUUAAUGCAUUUAAAAUUAAAAUUUUAGGCAUUUUUCUGUUUGAUUAUUGGUCAUGUGAAAUGGUUCUUUUCUCAGUAAUCUUUGGAUAUAUAAACAUACUGUUAAUUUCNUAUAUAUAUAUAUAUAUAUAUAUAUAGCAUAAUAGGUAAGAUUACAACAUUGUACCAUGGUUUAUGCCUUAGGAUUUCUUCUAGCACUCAUUUGUUUCCUGUGUCCAUCAUCAUUUAAGUGUUUCUCUACUUUAUUUGAUUGAACUGACUUAAUGACCAACUCUUCUGCUUCAAGGUUAUUGAAACCCUGUUCCUAAGUAAUCUCAUAAAUCCCUUUUGUUAAAAGAUUUAAUUCACAAGAAAUUGAUACUUUAGACUAAAGUCUUUAGUUAAUCUUAUAUUAAAUCUAUUCUUUGGAUUGAUCGGCGAGUGCAAAUCAAGAAUUCUAGACGAAAGACAUAUUCUUUUGUUCAAAGUUCGGCCUCUUUCAUGAGGGCAUUCUAUUUUGACUUUUUCACAGUAGUCAAACUUAAUGCUUUUAAAAUUCAAAUUAUAGGCAUUUUUCUGUUUGAUUAUUGGUCAUGUGAAAACUUUUUUUUUUUUUUUUUUUUUUUUUUUUUUUUUUUUAUAUAUAUUUCCAUGUGUAACCUUUUAUUUUUUUCAUGAUUUUGUUUUUCAGGCAUCUUCUGAUUUCAAACAGCCCCGCUGCCACCACAUGUCCCUGAGUACUCCCUGGAACUUGUGUCUUGUGGUGGCUGGCGGUUGUUUCUGGUGGUGGAUUUGGCCAGAGAAAUUUCCAUGUGUAACCUUUUUUUCCUUGUGUACAUACUUAAAGAAAAAUUACCUGUUUUCAAAAGAAAAACACAAACUGGGUUGCCUUCUUGAUGAAUUAUAUUUCGUCCUUCACUCACAACUUUACCCUGCAAAUAACAUAAACAUACUUUUCUUUACUAUAUUUUAGUCCCCUGUUUUAGGCUAAACUUAGCUUCAAUAUACUCUAUUUUAUACUUAACGCUAUGUUACCUGUUAGUUUUAAAAUAACAUUACAUUGUAGGCAUCACGAUGUGAAGUAAAACAAAAAGAUGAAAAGUUAGGAUGAAGUGAUAUUACUUGAGAUCAUCCUCUAGUAACAUCUGACUUUGUUUAUGUUUCAAAGAAUUAGUUUAUUUUAAAUUUUCAUCUUUUUACAAAACUUAACUUUACCCCAAUUAUAUACUUUAAUCCGUUGGAUUUCAAGGUUCUAUAUUUCAAGUUUAAGACAGGUUUACAAAAUCUUCUUUAAAGGCAGUGAAAAUCAUCAAUUUUCAUAACUUUCAUUUUUUUUUUAAUUACAAAACAAAACACAUUGUUAAAAAAUUCACUAAUAAUAUUAAAAAAACACAAAUAUGGCUACAAUAUUACAAAACAACUAAUUUAAAAAAAAAAAAAAAUACUUCUCUUGCUUUUUUAGAUACAAAAUCAUUAAAAAUACUAUCAAGAUCGAUUUAAUGUAAUAUAUUUUUCUCUCUACAUAAUAUUGUCAAACCAUUCAACAUUUUUUGCGACAUCGAUGACUUUAGUAACUCUUCAAUAACUUUGGUUUUGAAAAAAUUCAUUUUGCAAUGUAACAGUGACAUGAAUGGUUUAAUAAGAUGCUAUAUGCAAUAAAAAUAUUUCGAUAACAAUCAACAACUUUAACAAAGUCCAAAAUUUCAAUAGUGUACAUUAUAUUAUUUGGCAAAGUCAUUUGCAACACCUUUAAUUUUGAAAGUACAUAGCAAAUCCUAAUUUCUAGGUUUAAAAAUAUCUACAAAUGAUUUUUUGAUUUCUUCUGAAAAGUGUUCCUCAAGAAAAUCCAAUAUUUUCUUAUGAAAGUAGAGUAUUUACUGGUAGAGAAUAUGCCGUCAGUUUUAGAGAUACUAGUGUUAUCUUUAGAAAAUCCCAAGUUUUCCUGAAACAGGUUAUCCAUUCUAGAGGUAGAGAUGUAAGACUAGAGAUUCUUGAUUUCUGAUCAGUAUAAAUAUGAAAAUAGUUUUAUUAUUCAAAAUGAAACAUUUUCAAAGUAGAGUCUGUAAACUAAGUUAGCUUAUACUUAUUUGUGAGUCGUAUAACCAUACUUGAUACGACCUAGAGACCUUUAUAACGUUCUUAAGGCAUUAACGUUAAAUGACAUUUGUACACCCCAGACAUGCCUACCUAACUGUAGCUAGCAGUUCAGGUGCCGGAUUGUCAGUCCUGAAUAGAUCUAUCCACAAAUCUCACGCUCUCCCUCCAGGAGACUCUGGUUAUACUAGAAGGAUUUAUCCAUGUACACCUAAGGGUACAUUAAUGAAGUAGCGCCUCACAAUUCUAUAUAAUCCAGUUUACAAGCUAGAGACCAUAGAGAACAAGCUAGUGACCAUAGAAAACAGUAAUUAUCCUUAGAUAAUAUACUUUAUGCUUUUGAGAAAAUAUAUUACAUAACUAUAGUUGUCAUAGUUAUAAUACAUUUAUCCCUGAAAUCUGAUUCAGUAGAGACUGUCUAGAGAUUAUCCCAAACUAUACCCAUUAUAGUUUGUUAGAGUUGAUAUAGAAAACACUUGUUAAACCUUUCUGUGAUUAGUUAGAUUUCCAAAAUAAUAGUUUUCCCUUAUGCUCAACAUAGUACAAAAAGGGAUAAAAUCUGAGUAUGUUAUAAAAAAUUGGAAAUAAUUGGACUGGAUUAACAAGUUUAAAACUUGAUAAAAUACUUUAGAGUUAUGGCUUGUAUUCCCCCCUUGAAAACAUUAAAACACGGAAAAUAUAGGGGUAUAAACUCACCUGUAGUGAGUGACUUGAAUGAAAGAUCGAUAUAGGAUUGUAGAGUGUUAAGUGAAGUCUUUGGCACAAACGAAUCCUAUUAACCAUAUAAUGACACAUAUAUGUAUAUAAUUAGUGUAUAAACAAAUAAUCAUGAAAGGUAACACCCCUUGGGACUAGGAACACUUAUACUGAAGUGCUACAAUCACAUAUGAUUGCAUAAAAGGGGGUGUAUGACCACUAAAUGGGGUUUUCGGUCCAAGUGGUAUGAUUCUAAUAGUUUUCGGUCCAUAUGGUUUUUGGUUCAUAUGGAUUUCAAUCCAUAUGGUUCUCGGAUUCAUAUGAUUUUCGGCCCAUAUGGUUCUCGGUUUCAUAUGAUUUUCGGUCCAUAUGGUUCUCGGUCACGGGAGAUGCACUUGACCGAAAACACCAAUUGUUCCAAAAAAAAAAAACGGAUAUGUUCAAGCCCCUAAUUCGAUAUCCAAACUAAUAACAUGUAAAGGAUGCAAGGACUUACAAAUUUGAAGGCUAAGAAUAGAGGUUUUUGGCCCAAAACACUUUCGUGUUCUUGAAGAUCUAGUACAAAAGAUGGAAAUUUGUGGAUGGAUGCAAAGAUGAUUCAAGAAGAAGAAGUGAUGUAGCAACAUAUAUAUGGAAGGAUCUACUUACAUUUAUGAAGAUUGGAAGAAAACUUGAAGAUCCUUAGGAGAGAUGUAACGAUCGUCUUUCGAGGUAUAAAUUUAUUUAGAUUCUCAAGUUUUAUUUUGGGCUAUAAUAGAAUUGUAUAUGGGAUUGGGCCUCUUUGUUUUGGGUCGAGACAUAGUCUGCCCAUAAGCCGUACGCGGGGCGUAAACCCGUUGUAUGCUGGGUGUAAUGAUUAAAUGAAACGCGAGGAGGAAAAGCGUACGCGCAGCGUACCAUAUGGUACGCCCGGCGUACGCGGUCAGAGGAAAAACCCUAAUUUUAGGGGUUUAAGGCUAUAUAAACCCCAUUAUAGCCUCCUUCCCUGUUUUCCCAUCAGCCUCCUCACUCUCAAGAAAACCCUAAGUCGUUCUUAUCCUCUCUUUGUGUGUGAAGAAGCUUUUGUGAGUGAUUUAAGGAAAGGAAGUGGUGAAGAAGGAAGGGAAGAAGUUGGAGAAGAAGCUUGAGUUCAGGGAUCUGGAUUUAGCACCCUCUUGGUCAGCAAAGGAAGGUAUAAAGUUCUGAACUUUCUUCCUCUUUCCUUCUAGAUCUAGGUUAUGAAAGUUUGGACAUUUUUAAGUCCAAAGGUUGAGUCUUGAUCUUGAAAGUCGGUUUUGGAGCUUGGAUUGCCAUCCUUAAGGCUCAGAAACAUCUUCCUAUCAAUAAAGUUACAAUCUUUGUGGCUUAUAUGGAACCAUGCAUGAGAUCUAGUUAGCUCUGUGGAAGUAGAAUGUUAUUUAUGGAAGUUUGAGCCUUUAUGAGACUUGUAAGCCAUCAAGUAAGCAACUUUAUGGCUUAAGACGUGGAACAAGCUUAGGAUCUGGAUUUGUAGCUUCUGGAUCAGAUUAUUAAGCAUUUAAUGAGAUUUUGGCUUAACAGGGAUGUACGGUGGGCGUACAAGCCAGUAGCCAGUACGCUCAGCGUACCUUGGUGUACGCCCCGCGUACGCUGCCAGUUUGGGCUUCGAGUGUUUUGGGACUCAAUGUGGGAUGAGUUUUAGACUUAGGGUCUUUGGGCCUUAGUGGCCAUCAGAAUUCAGUUGCUUUGGGACCAAGGACUAAUAUUGGGCUUGAGUAAGGCCCAAUAAAAGGUUUUGGGCCCAAUAUAGAAAAUUGGGCCAUUAGUGGGCCUAUAGUGGGGCCAUUGAUGGACUUAGAAGGAAUUGAGGGUUUGGGCCAUAUUGUGACCCAUGCCAUAGUAGGGGUAAAAGGGUCAUUUUACCCAUAGGAGAAUCCCUAUUCUGAUUUAGUGUUUUAUUUCCCAUGAUAGCCAGGAAGCAGCCGAAGCAGCAGUCAGGGAUUUCUCAUUCAGCAGUUCAGCAGUCAGCAUCACGAGGUGAGUUUCCUUCUAGUAGGAACGGGUCUACGGCCACAAUGACGGCCCGUUUAGUUAGCAGUAGUUCCGGAUUCGGUCUAAUGUAGUAGUUUAGGAUGCUUGGUGUCUUUGUGAUUCAAGCAUGUCUAUGUGUUAUGUGUUCCGGGAUUCGGUCCUAUGCAGUUAGUUCCGGACUCCGGUCCGAUGCAGUUAGUUCCGGACUUAGGUCCGAUGUAGUCAGUUUCGGCUUCUGUCACACCCCCGAACCAGACGGCGGAAACGUCCGGGGGCUGUCGUGACUCAAUUGAAUACCAUAACAUUGAAUAUAUAUGAAACAAAACAACAUUCGUCACCAUUCAUCAACAUAAUACAACCAGUAGUGUUUACAUGUCAUACAUUGUUUGAGAUAUUACAUUUCCAAAAAUUAAUAUUGUUUGGUUCAUUCAAAAAUAAACUGCAACCGUCACUGAGCAUGAUUUCCCUUGACUCACUGGUUUCCUGAGAAUACAAGUAUUUUGAAAAACGUCAACAUAUGAAAUGUUGGUGAGUUCAUAAGUAGUGUUUGAAAUCGAAUGUUUAUAUUGUUUGAAAAACACCAGAAAAUCCGAUAUUUUCUGAAAAGAAAAGCUUUCAAAAACGUUUGUGAAGAUCCAUAGGUAUGCUUGUUUGUUUCUAUACUUGCAAAAAUUGUUCAUUUAAGAUGUAUGCGUUUAAAAUCUGUAUGUGAUAAAAACCCUAGGGAAACCCGAUGUUCCCCUAGUUCUUUUGAAAUCCAUUGAGUUGCGUUGAAACCAUUACAAAAAUAGUAGUAUCGGUCCCAAGCGACGUUGGAAGGUUCUCGAGCAUUGAUUAUUUACUACAAACCCGCAUUACACAAAUGCCCGGUUUAUAGAUAUACCAACGAUUCCCGAAGGCGUCGUCAGUACUAAUCACGUUAUCCAAUCGCCCGGACUAUGAGUGGUCCCACAUCCGAAGAGAAAGAGGUCACGAAGACCCCGGUAACUCUAUUAACCGGCUGGGGAAAUAUGUGUGCGAGGGGUCCCCGACCCGCCUCGUAAAAUGUGUAGACUUUUCUAGCAAUACCAUGGCCCUUGGGGUCCAAUGAUACAAGCCAUUGAAAGUCACCCUACGUUGUGCCAAGUCGGUAAAACUCAACACUUCGUAGAAAAAAAAAUGUCUUCGGGCCUUAAGAUCAGGUCAUUGGGCUAGCUAGGCCCAACAAACAAGAUUUUACACUUUUGGGGCCCGAAGAUGGUGCGUAGACGUCUGUGCACACUCGUAUGUAUGUGUAUUACCAAUCGUUAUUUGUAUGUAUCAAAGAGUUAGUAGUUGUAGAUUUCCAUUGGCUCGAGACCGAGCCAAUUCGUUUAGCAACGACUUUUGGUAUUGUAAUGAGUUGUAUUUCGUUGGUAGUCGAGGUAUCGUUAUUUGAUCAAAUUGUACAUAAUGUAUCAGCCUUGAAAUAUUUUUGUUUUCAGCCCCUCAUUAUUUGUAAAAUUUACAUUUUCAACCCUUUUAUUUAAGUAUUUCCCGGUUUGGUCCUUAAACUAUUUUUCUUGACAUUUUAACACCAAAAAUUAUUGAAAUUAAUAUUUUCCAGCAUAUUUUUCAAAGAAAACAGUUUAAGUCCCUGAAAAUGCAGUUUUUCUCGGUUUUAGCCCAUCUUUUCGCAAUUUUGACAAUUUUGGCCCAAAAUGGAAAAUUUUUGCAACUUUGGUCCUUUUUAAAUUUAAAAAGCAUUUUAAACCUUUGAAAAGGGUUUGGGACACUUAUAGUCCACUGUUUUACAGAAAGUUACAGUUUUGGCCCUCCAAAACAGAAAAAUUCGCAUAAUGGGCCUUAUUGGGCCGAAAUUUGCAUUUUUAGCCCAAUAGGCUUGAAAUUUAUGUUUUUAAUCCACCAAUUGAAUAGAAUUCCAGAAAUAGCUUUAUUGAAACUGUUUUGACACAUUUCAACCAUCAGAAUCUGUAAAAUGUCAUUUUGGGCCCUUAAUUUUGUAUUUUUCACAUUUUUGGCCCAAAAUGUGUGUUUUUAGCUUAAAGAAAAUUGUUGCUAACCACUUGGCUAUUUAUCUAGUAUCACUUAUUAUGUAGGAACAUAUUUGAAGCUAAUAUCAUAAAACAUGAGUUAUAUCUCGGUUUUGAGGGGUUUAAUGGCUAGAUCCAACAUUAAAACACAUAUAAGCAUACAUAUAAGCAUGGAAAUCAUACAAGGCAUACAAAUACAUAUAGAUCUACACUUUCACUUGUAUUCCCCCCCACAAAAACUCUUAAAAACAGAAAAUAGGGGUAUGAAUCUCACCUUGAGUGGGUAGUUUCGGUUCUUGAAGAAAAAUUGGAAGAAAUGAAGUGAUUUUUGGCCCUUGCACUCCUUGAUGAACUUUUCGAGAUUAUGGGGUUUCUAGAGUGCAAGAUCACGGUUUUUACAUGGAUUAGGAAGAGAUUUUGAUAACAAAAGAAUUUAAACCAUAGAUCUAUGAAUAAUCUUACCUUAGAUGAUGAUUUACUUGCAAAAUCCUCUUGGAAAGUCCCUAAAUUUCGAGAUCUUUGGAGAGGGGAGGGAAGGAGAGUUCUUUGAGUGUUCUAGAGAGAAAGUUGAGAUAUUUUGGUGUGUGUGAUGAUGCUUGGCCGAGAGUGAGAGAGGAGAGAAGAAGAAAUGACUUUUGAAGUGAUUUGCAUGGAGAUAUGGACUAAGAUGCAUGGAGACAUGUUGGGUAAUAAUGAGGUGGCAAGCAAAUAGUCAACCCUUCUUCUUGGGCUUUUCUUUUGGGCCGAAAAUGGGAAGGAAAAAAAAAGUUUUUGGGCUUUUUGCUCCUAAGCCCAACAUUAGUGUUAAUUAGGGUAUUUAUUGGACUUAUAAAAUAAAAUUGUGAUUUUUGUGCUUUAUUAAGCUAGGUUAGGUUUAAUUAUGGAUCAAAACUUGUGUUUUAUUUCCUUCUAGGUUCUACCUAGCCCAAAAUAUUGAAAUAAACGAAUGUGGGUCCAAUUAGAGCCCAAUUAGGGUCCUAAACCCAUGAUAGUCCAAUUGGAAGCUUAUUGGUCCAUUUGGAUCCAAUAAGGAAGUCUUAGUCCAAAAUGGACUUAACCAAAACUUCUAGGGUCUCCAAUUGUUUGAUGACUAUCUAUAGUACUUGUAUCUUGUAUUUGGUUAAAGUUUUUGAUUCACAUUAACUUGAAUGUAUAGAUUACAUAGCUUAAAAUUCACAGUUGUGACAUCAUCCCCCCGUUAGAGGGAAUUUCGUCCCGAAAUUCUGUUUGAAAGCUAGAUUUGAGAAAACUAGAAUAGGUGAGGGUACUUCUGCUUCAUUUGGUCUUCGCGUUCCCACGUGAAUUCUGGCCCACGCUUUGCGUUCCACCGUACCUUCACGAUCGGGAUGCGACUCUGCUUAGUACGCUUCACCUCCCUGUCCAUGAUUUCGAUUGGUUCUUCGACGAACAGGAGAUUCUCAUUGAUUUCGAUUUCGUCAAGAGGAAUGACAAGGGUUUCAUCUGAUAGGCACUUUUUCAGAUUAGAAACAUGAAACACGGGGUGCACACCGUUUAGCUCCGGGGGUAGUUGUAGUCUGUAGGCUACCGGACCUAUUCGGGCGACGAUUUCGAAAGGUCCAAUGUACCGUGGGUUUAGCUUUCCUCGUUUUCCGAAACGUAUAACUCCUUUCCAGGGUGAGACCUUCAACAAUACUCGAUCACCGACCUGGAAUUCUAAGGGCUUUCGCCGUUUAUCAGCGUAGCUCUUUUGCCGGUCACGCGAUGCCUGUAAUCGAGCUUUGAUCUGGACAAUCUUUUCUGUGGUCUCGCGAAUGAUUUCCGGUCCUGUCAUUGCCCUAUCCGACGUAUGUGUUCUUGCUAGCUGGGUGUCACCUACUUCAGCCCAACAUAACGGUGAUCUACAUUUACGCCCGUACAGUGCUUCGAAAGGGGCCACCUUAAUGCUCGAAUGAUAACUAUUGUUAUAUGAAAACUCGAUCAACGGUAGGUGGGUAUCCCAAGACUUUCCGAAGUCUAUCACACAUGCACGAAGCAUGUCUUCAAGCGUCUGAAUGGUUCGUUCGCUUUGACCGUCCGUUUGUGGGUGAUACGCGGUGCUCAUAUCAAGAUGAGUUCCCAUGGCCUUGUGGAGCGACUGCCAAAAGCGUGACGUGAACCUACUGUCCCUAUCCGAGAUGAUAGAUUUUGGCACUCCAUGAAGUCUUACAAUCUCUCGUAGGUACAAACGCGUCAGCCUCUCCAUCUUGUAGGACUCUUUGAUUGGCAGGAAAUGGGCAGAUUUCGUCAGUCGGUCGAUUAUUACCCAUAUGGUGUCCAAUCCGUCCGACGUCUUGGGCAGCUUGGUCACGAAGUCCAUAGAAAUCCCCUCCCAUUUCCACUCAGGGAUUGCCGGUUGCUGUAACAAUCCGGAAGGUUUCUGGUAUUCCACUUUUACUUUGGCACACGUAAGGCACUUACUAACAUAAGUUGCGAUUUCCGCCUUCAUGUUAGGCCACCAAUAGUGCUGCUUAAUGUCCAAAUACAUCUUGUCCGAACCAGGAUGAAUGGAGUAUCGUGUCUUGUGGGCUUCCUUCAUAACGGUCUCCCUGAAUCCUCCGAUUUUUGGAACCCAAAUACGGUUCAUGAAGUAGUAUACCCCAUUCUCUUUGACUUCCAGGUUCUUCUCCAUUCCGCGUAAUGCCUCGCUAGUUCUAUUUUCCGCUUUCAUAGCCUCUGCCUGGACUGAUGCAAUUUGAGUGGUCAGAUGAGACUGAAUGGUUAUCGAGUGCGUUUUCGUACGGCGAUUUGUGUAUUCCUUCCGACUUAAUGCGUCAGCUACCACGUUGGCCUUGCCUGGAUGGUACUUGAUCUCGCAUUCGUAGUCGUUUAACAAUUCCACCCAUCUUCGUUGUCUCAUGUUCAGCUCCUUCUGAUUCAAGAUGUGCUGGAGGCUCUUGUGGUCCGUAAAGAUGGUGCACUUUGUACCGUACAGGUAGUGCCUCCAAAUUUUUAGAGCGAAGACCACAGCUCCCAGUUCUAGGUCAUGGGUUGUGUAAUUUACUUCGUGCGCCUUUAGUUGACGGGACGCAUAUGCUAUCACUCUUCCACGUUGCAUGAGAACGCAACCUAAGCCUUGAUUUGACGCGUCACAGUAAACUACAAAAUCUUCCGUUCCUUCAGGUAGAGAUAGUACAGGAGCGCUGCAAAGAGCUUGCUUCAAGGUUCGAAACGCAAUCUCUUGUCGGUCUGUCCACUUGAAUGGCACACUCUUUUGCGUAAGCAAGGUAAGUGGCUUGGCGAUUUUUGAGAAGUUUUGGAUGAAUCUCCUAUAGUAGCCUGCUAGGCCUAAGAACUGACGAAUUUCUGUGGGCGUAGUCGGAGUUGCCCAUCCUUCCACAGCUUUGACCUUAGAGGGAUCCACAUGAAUUCCAUCUUGGCUAACUACGUGACCUAGAAAAUUCACGCUCCGUAGCCAAAACUCACACUUAGAGAGUUUGGCGUAAAGCCUUUCCGAUCGCAGCGUUUCUAGGACUUGUCGGAGAUGUUGGCCAUGCUCCUCUUUGCUUCGAGAAUAGACGAGGAUGUCAUCGAUAAACACAAUGACGAAGUUGUCCAAGAACGGUCGACAGAUUCGGUUCAUUAGGUCCAUAAAUGCGGCAGGUGCAUUUGUUAGACCGAAGGGCAUUACGACGAAUUCAUAAUGUCCAUAGCGGGUUCGGAAAGCGGUUUUAGGAAUAUCUUCUUCUCGGACCUUGAGUUGAUGGUAUCCGGACCGUAGAUCUAUUUUAGAAAAAUAGCUAGCUCCUUGGAGCUGGUCGAAUAGAUCAUCGAUUCGCGGGAGUGGGUAGCGGUUUUUAACAGUGAGUUUAUUCAACUCUCUGUAAUCGAUGCACAUUCUGAAAGAUCCGUCCUUCUUUUUGACAAAGAGCACCGGAGCUCCCCAUGGCGAGUAGCUAGGUCGGAUAAAUCCCUUGUCCAGAAGCUCACUGAGUUGGCUGGACAAUUCCUGCAUUUCAGCAGGUGCCAACCGAUAUGGUGAUUUAGCGAGAGGAGUUGCUCCUGGAACGAGGUCGAUUCGGAACUCAACCUGUCUCUCUGGGGGUACUCCUGGAAGAUCUUCGGGAAACACGUCCGGAAAUUCACACGCUACCGGAAUGUCUUGGAUGUUAGUUUCUUCUUUGGUCUUGUCCACUAUGUGGGCCAAGAACGCUAAGUUGUUCUUUCGCAGAUGUUUUUGUGCUUUGAUGCACGAGAUAAGACGAAGAUUCGUGCUAGGUUUGUCUCCGUAAAUUACUAGGGUUUCGUGAUUCGGGAGACGAAGGCGAACGGCCUUCUCGUGGCACAUAAUCUCAGCAUGGUGGGGGCUUAACCAAUCCAUGCCGAUAAUCACAUCGAAACUCCUAAUUGAUACUGGCAUUAGGUCUAUUCGAAAGACGUGCUGGUUAAGGGUUAGGGUACAUCCGAUGUAGAUCUCCCUAGUGGAUUCGGUUUUCCCAUUGGCCAUUUCCACCGUAUAGGUUUCAUUUAGCUUCUGGGGUUGUUGUUUUAGUAAAUGUUUAAACUUCUCGCUUACGAAACUUCGCUCCGCUCCGGUAUCAAAUAAGAUGCAUGCAUAAGUGUGGUUUAGGAGAAACGUACCGGUCACAACUGCGGGAUCUUGAACUGCAUCACUCUGACCCAUAGUCAGCAUUCUUCCUGUUCCUCUGUUUCCGGAGUUGUUGUUGUUGUUAGGGCAAUCUCGACGGAAAUGUCCCGUCCUUCCACACCCGAAACAGGUGUGGCUAGGCCCUGCGUUGUUGCCGCCGGCAUUGGUGUUGUUGAUGUUGCGGUGAUUGUUGUUGUUGUUCUGGUUGUUUCCCUGACUCUGGUUCUGAGAAGGAUAAGUCCUGCAGAACUUUGCAGUGUGUCCCCUUCGGUUGCAACUGGUGCAAUGGAACUCCCUACAUUCUCCUUGGUGAUGGAAACCGCACUUGUUGCAUUUGGGAUGAGUGCCGGAAUAGGGUCUUGAAGUAUUUGAAGUAGCUGAGGCUGGAGCAUGUGAUGUGACUGGUACCGGCGCAGUGACAGCGUGAACUGCCACCGUUUGCUGCUUUUUAGAGGUCUCGGGACCUUGACGCCCCUUCCUCUUGUUGUUCCAUCCCUUCUUACCAUCGCUCUCCUUCUUCUUCUCAGUCUCUACCGGUUUCUCGCCCUUUUUGUGGUUAUGAUCAUAGAGCCUCUUUGCCAAUCUCUUCGCGCUGUCAAACGUUUCAGGGUUAGCAGCUAUCACAUUCCCUUGAAUGGGGGAUGUCAAUCCCCAAAUGAAUCGUUCAAUCUUCUUCCCCUCUGAUGUGAUCAUACCCGGGCACAACAGAGAUAGUUCGCUGAAUCUCGAUAUGUAAGCAUCGAUGUUCCCAUUCUGCACCGUGAGAUUCCAUAGUUCCUGCUCCAUCUUCUGUAUUUCGCCUCGGGGGCAGUACUCAGCCGUCAACAUCUCUUUCAUCUCUGCCCAGGGAAUAGAGUUGGCGACAGGGAGUGUCAUAGCUUCCACAUGACCAUUCCACCAAGUGAGUGCUUGGUCCACAAAAGUGCAGGCCGCGAACUUCACUUUCAUCUGCUCGGGGCACUCGCAUAUCUCGAAUACCGACUCUACCUUCUCGAUCCAUCGCUUUAGGGCGAUCACUCCUCCGGUACCGUUGAAAGUUCGGGGUUUAGCGUUCGCAAAAUCCUUGUAGGUGCACGUUUUAGUGAGUCCUUGGUUCGUCCCGUUGUUCGAACUUCCGGAUCCUUGCCCGUUACCUCCUCCGUUGUUCCCUCGGUGAAGUUGUGCCAUAGCCGCUGUGACCGCAGCAGACACGGCUGCCUGGAAAGCAGUGGAGUCAACUUCCGGCGGGGUUGGUUCGGGAUUUCCGCGAGUAGCUGGGCGAGGCAUCUUUCUGUCAUGAAACGGAAAGAUGUUGAGUGUACGUGGUUUCGGUGAGGUUAUGAUCCUACUAACUAGGUGUAUGGUACGAACCUAAGCAUUACUAUCAUCAAGCAUACAAUCAUAACGCCUCAACAUAUAACAACUGAGAAUAUCAUAGCAAAACACACAAAAGUUUAUUAAUAUUAUCCGCAUUUAGUACAAGAAAAUUUGCUCGUAGGAGCAUACAUAAGUAACACUAAUCCGACAGCAUAACGGCUCCAUGAGUAGUGUAGUCACUUAAACAUAGAGCCGGAGUACAUAACAUAGUUACUAAUAUCCUACUACGAUAGGUCUAUCCCUAACCGCGAUGAGCUGCGUCAGGAGGUGGUGCCGAAGUCAUAUGCCGAAAUGUUGCGCCAGUAGCUGCGCCAUCUCUGCCAUGUCUCCUAUAACUUCAUCCCUCUCGUGCUCUGCUCUCACUGCCCGAGCUUCCAUAGCAUACAGCUGUUGUCGCAGUGCGGCGAUCUCAGCUUCGAGGGAACGGUUCUCCCUUGGGGGGUUCACUGGUGGAGCGGGGUGAUCUGGUUGUGCCUCGUCCUCGCAUGGUGGGAUGGGGUCCUGGCCCCCGACCUGACCCUCCUCGUCGUCAUCGUCGACCUCUCCAAAUUCGUAGUCGGUGUCUAUAUAUUCGUCGGGUUCGACGUCGUGUGCUUCUCCUGGAUGCUCUCCCGGCUCAUCCACCAGCAUCCCGUGAGCUACUAAGGCCUGAUGAAACUGGAUACCCGGCUGCUCCUCCUCAGGCUCCUCCUCCUCCUCUAGCCACCCGUUGUUUCCCUGAUUAGGGAAGUAGGGGUCUCCAGGGUGAUGAAAACCAGCCAUGCUGUCUGCGCGAGUACGUAAUUAUGCUACAUUAUUCCUAGGGUACUAUGACUAUUACACAGACUAAGCAAAUAUUCUCUUUUUGGGUGAUAUAGGGUAAAAUUUUUAGGUUCCCUGGCUAUUCCGAUCUCAUCAAGACAUGUGUUAGUUUUACCUUGGAGAGAAUGUAGUUGAUCAGGCUACAUUCACUCCUUGGUAUCACUAAGAACAGUCCCGAAUUAACCGAGAUACCAGUAUUAUGGUGUUUGAUUCAGCGUUAGGUCCUUACUCCUAAUGCAAGCAAGUGUAUUUUAUUCAUUUGUUUUGUUCAGAGUUAUGUUAGUCCCUCUUUUUGGUUUAUAGUUGCAUAUCAAUGUAUGGCUCGACAUGCUAGUUCACUAUAAACAAAGCUCUGAUACCAACCUGUCACACCCCCGAACCAGACGGCGGAAACGUCCGGGGGCUGUCGUGACUCAAUUGAAUACCAUAACAUUGAAUAUAUAUGAAACAAAACAACAUUCGUCACCAUUCAUCAACAUAGUACAACCAGUAGUGUUUACAUGUCAUACAUUGUUUAAGACAUUACAUUUCCAAAAAUUAAUGUUGUUUGGUUCAUUCAAAAAUAAACUGCAACCGUCACUGAGUAUGAUUUCCCUUGAUUCACUGGUUCCCUGAGAAUACAAGUAUUUUGAAAAACGUCAACAUAUGAAAUGUUGGUGAGUUCAUAAGUAGUGUUUGAAAUCGAAUGUUUAUAUUGUUUGAAAAACCACCAGAAAAUCCGAUAUUUUCUGAAAAGAAAAGCUUUCAAAAACGUUUGUGAAGAUCCAUAGGUAUGCUUGUUUGUUUCUAUACUUGCAAAAAUUGUUCAUUUAAGAUGUAUGCGUUUAAAAUCUGUAUGUGAUAAAAACCCUAGGGAAACCCGAUGUUCCCCUAGUUCUUUUGAAAUCCAUUGAGUUGCGUUGAAACCAUUACAAAAAUAGUAGUAUCGGUCCCAAGCGACGUUGGAAGGUUCUCGAGCAUUGAUUAUUUACUACAAACCCGCAUUACACAAAUGCCCGGUUUAUAGAUAUACCAACGAUUCCCGAAGGCGUCGUCAGUACUAAUCACGUUAUCCAAUCGCCCGGACUAUGAGUGGUCCCACAUCCGAAGAGAAAGAGGUCACGAAGACCCCGGUAACUCUAUUAACCGGCUGGGGAAAAAUGUGUGCGAGGGGUCCCCGACCCGCCUCGUAAAAUGUGUAGACUUUUCUAGCAAUACCAUGGCCCUUGGGGUCCAAUGAUACAAGCCAUUGAAAGUCACCCUACGUUGUGCCAAGUCGGUAAAACUCAACACUUCGUAGAAAAAAAAUGUCUUCGGGCCUUAAGAUCAGGUCAUUGGGCUAGCUAGGCCCAACAAACAAGAUUUUACACUUUUGGGGCCCGAAGAUGGUGCGUAGACGUCUGUGCACACUCGUAUGUAUGUGUAUUACCAAUCGUUAUUUGUAUGUAUCAAAGAGUUAGUAGUUGUAGAUUUCCAUUGGCUCGAGACCGAGCCAAUUCGUUUAGCAACGACUUUUGGUAUUGUAAUGAGUUGUAUUUCGUUGGUAGUUGAGGUAUCAUUAUUUGAUCACAUUGUACAUAAUGAAUCAGCCUUGAAAUAUUUCUGUUUUCAGCCCCUCAUUAUUUGUAAAAUUUACAUUUUCAACCCUUUUAUUUAAAUAUUUCCCGGUUUGGUCCUUAAACUAUUUUUCUUGACAUUUUAACACCAAAAAUUAUUGAAAUUAAUAUUUUCCAGCAUAUUUUUCAAAGAAAACAGUUUAAGUCCCUGAAAAUGCAGUUUUUCUCGGUUUUAGCCCAUCUUUUCGCAAUUUUGACAAUUUUGGCCCAAAAUGGAAAAUUUUUGCAACUUUGGUCCUUUUUAAAUUUAAAAAGCAUUUUAAACCUUUGAAAAGGGUUUGGGACACUUAUAGUCCACUGUUUUACAGAAAUUCACAGUUUUGGCCCUUCAAAACAGAAAAAUUCGCAUAAUGGGCCUUAUUGGGCCGAAAUUUACAUUUUUAGCCCAAUAGGCUUGAAAUUUAUGUUUUUAAUCCACCAAUUGAAUAGAAUUCCAGAAAUAGCUUUAUUGAAACUGUUUUGACACAUUUCAACCAUCAGAAUCUGUAAAAUGUCAUUUUGGGCCCUUAAUUUUGUAUUUUUCACAUUUUUGGCCCAAAAUGUGUGUUUUUAGCUUAAAGAAAAUUGUUGCUAACCACUUGGCUAUUUAUCUAGUAUCACUUAUUAUGUAGGAACAUAUUUGAAGCUAAUAUCAUAAAACAUGAGUUAUAUCUCGGUUUUGAGGGGUUUAAUGGCUAGAUCCAACAUUAAAACACAUAUAAGCAUACAUAUAAGCAUGGAAAUCAUACAAGGCAUACAAAUACAUAUAGAUCUACACUUUCACUUGUAUUCCCCCCCACAAAAACUCUUAAAAACAGAAAAUAGGGGUAUGAAUCUCACCUUGAGUGGGUAGUUUCGGUUCUUGAAGAAAAAUUGGAAGAAAUGAAGUGAUUUUUGGCCCUUGCACUCCUUGAUGAACUUUUCGAGAUUAUGGGGUUUCUAGAGUGCAAGAUCACGGUUUUUACAUGGAUUAGGAAGAGAUUUUGAUAACAAAAGAAUUUAAACCAUAGAUCUAUGCAUAAUCUUACCUUAGAUGAUGAUUUACUUGCAAAAUCCUCUUGGAAAGUCCCUAAAUUUCGAGAUUUUUGGAGAGGGGAGGGAAGGAGAGUUCUUUGAGUGUUCUAGAGAAAAAGUUGAGAUAUUUUGGUGUGUGUGAUGAUGCUUGGCCGAGAGCAAGAAGGGAGGAGAGAAAGAAGUGACUCUUGAAGUGAUACAUGCAUGGAGGUAUGUGAUUUGUGCCUAGAAAUCCAUUAGGUAAUAGUGAGGUGGCAACCAAAGUCAACCUCCCUUGGAUUUGGGCCUUGGGCCGAGAAUAUGAAGGGGAAAGAGGAAAAAUUUGGGCUUUUGCCCCUAAGCCCAACAUUAGAGGUAGUUUAGGGUAUUUAUUGGACUUAUAAAAUAAAAUUGUGAUUUUUGUGCUUUAUUAAGCUAGGUUAGGUUUAAUUAUGGAUCAAAACUUGUGUUUUAUUUCCUUCUAGGUUCUACCUAGCCCAAAAUAUUGAAAUAAACGAAUGUGGGUCCAAUUAGAGCCCAAUUAGGGUUCUAAGCCCAUGAUAGUCUAAUUGGAAGCUUAUUGGUUCAUUUGGAUCCAAUAAGGAAGUCUUAGUCCAAAGUGGACUUAACCAAAACUUCUAGGGUCUCCAAUUGUUUGAUGACUAUCUAUAGUACUUGUAUCUUGUAUUUGAUUAAAGUUUCUGAUUCACAUUAACUUGAAUGUAUAGAUUACAUAGCUUAAAAUUUACAGUUGUGACAGCUUCAGUCCGAUGCAGUUUCCGGACUUUGGUCCGAUGGAGAGGGCAAGGCCCUGGUUAGUUCCGGACUUCAGUCCAAUGCCGUUUCCGGACUUCGGUCCGAUGCAGUGGGCAAGGCCCAAGAUGUGUUUAUAUGUUAUUGUAUGGUAUGUGAUAGUUUGGGGGAACUCACUAAGCUUCGUGCUUACAGUUUUCAGUUUUGGUUUCAGGUACUUCCGCAUUGCACACACUACAACUUCAGUUUUAUUCCUGGGAGUUUUUCUUAGUUAUGAUGUGAUACAGUUCCGAUACAGUUUGUGAUACGACAUUUUAUUAUGGUUUGAAAUAUUUAACGUAUGGGUUUUAUAUUAUGACAUUCAGUAUAUGAUUUUAGUAUUAUUAAACAAAAAUUUUUGGGACGUAUUUUUGGGUCGUUACAAGUUGGUAUCAGAGCCUUGGUUUGAGGGAUUCGGAUACACUUUCGGGUGUGUCUUGAUGGGUUUUGGCCAUAUGAACAUUCCUAUGUGCACAUGCAAACCCUAAUGCUUGGAUCUAGGUUUCUCUAAUUAAACAUGCUUUCUAUCCAAGACUUCUAAUGACUAAUUAGGUAUAAGAACAAUACAAAAUCAGAUCUAGAAGCUUACCUUUGAAUCUCUUGUUUGAUCUUGUUGUCUUGGAGCUCUAGAGUCACAAUUGUCACUCCUCUAAUGGCUUACAAACACCAACUAGCAAGGAGGAUGAUUUGAGAGAGAGGUUGGAGGAAGAAAUCGGCCAGAGUAUCUUUACUAUGUUGGAGGUGCCGAUUUCCCUUACCCAAGGGGUCUAUUUAUACUUGUAAGGCUCUUAGGGUUUCACCCUUAAACCCUAAUUGGAUAACUUAAACUUUAAGUAAUCCUAAUCCCUAUCUAAGAUAGCCUUGGACGAUUUUAGGCUUAUCCUAGCCCUAGAAAUCGUCCAUACCCUAUCCCAUAAGGAUUUACAGCCCAAAGUGUAACUAUCAGACAAUUGACAGUUUAUACCCUCUUAUUUAAUUAAUCUCUUUAAGUCACCAAAUUAAUACUAAUCAAUCUAUGACUUAUAUUAAUUAAAUAACUAUAUUAUUAUUCCUUAUAUUAUUCUCAUAAUAUAUUAAUAAUAUCUAUUCUCUCAUAAUAAAUCAUCCUGUCAAGUUGCUAUGGUGAAGGCAACCCAAAAGGACCAUGCACAAUCGGGUCAAAUACUUGCAUAAUAUAGUUGCAGCCUUAGACACUAUUCCAACAUGUCUGAACUCAAACUAAGGAAAUGGUAAAAGAUUUUUAAAAGAAAAACAUUUUUGAAAAAGAACUUAGAAAUAAAAGAGUUUUGAUAAGAGAAAAGGGUGUGGUGCAUGUGAUCAGCCGAGCUCAAGUAAGUACUCCCAAAUUACCCAUACAAGUUUAUAUUAUGAUUAUCUGCUUCAGUUUCAGUAGAACAACAUGCUAGUAUAGGACUAAGGAUCUAUGAGGAUGUCUUAUGUGCCUACUUUAUGUGUUUCAGCUUUAUGAGAAUUGCAUGCUAGUAUUUGAGUAGACAGCAGUAGGAUAGCCUGAUUAGGUUAUGCCUGGUAAUAUGAGCUUAGCAUUGUAUGCUAGUACAAUUUCUCAUUAUGAGGAUAGAAUUGUUUGAGUAGUUUCCUGUGUCCGAAUGCUACUUGCUUUGUGCUUUGUGGGACUCUGAGUAAUGGGAGUUAGCCAUUAGGUGAAUACGUCACAUCACAUGUGAUCAGGGUUGAAUAAUCUCAGAGUGUUGGAUUUGGCCCUACUGCACAGCUCUCGUUUGAGUCUAACCGUUAUAGGGAUGACUCUUUUACUCGAAGGAUUAUCCGAGCCUCAUCACAUGUGAUGGUAUUCAGGUGAUGACUAAUUGGCAUUACAAGGAGGCCUGCAGCGACUGAUGACUGGUUUUGGUUGAGUCAGAGAUUUCCCUAGUGCAAGCCUAGGAUGAGAGUAGCAGAGAUUAGUAGCAAUGUUAGUGGCUUGGUGGAAUCAAGGCGGUCCUUGAGGAAGGUACAGGUAGAUGUGGAAGGUAGUAGGGCCCCAUACUACUGGAAGCAGAGGAUCUGUACUUGAAUCGAGGAAGGCUGAGAUGAGACCGGAAAGCCUGUAGUAGUAGUGAUCCCUCGAGAUAAAUCAGUAUUUCUAACGUUUAUCAUGAUGUGUUUUUAGAAUGGUGGUUUUACGCCUUAGACCAGCAGGCGGCAGUUCAGGUGCCGGGGAGGGAUCAACAUCAAGCUCGGGGGCCGAGCAGUUGGAUGAGCAGACUAGAGAGUUCUUCACUUCAGAAGUUACUUGUAUCAUUCUCGAGCAGACUCCAGUGAUCUUCUGUUCGAUCAAGGAGGGUAUACUAGAGUUGAUGGAGGAGAAACUAAGCACAUUCGUGCUGAGGUGGCGGCCAUGAUGGGGUCGCGCACACAUACGUUCAAGGAGUUACGGGCAUGUGGGGCUCCAGACUAUCACAGGGCAUGUAUAAUAAUUUAACCGUUCAUGUUAGAAAAAAUUAUUUAAAACAUGAAGAAGAAGAUGAUGCAUGUAAUCAAUGCAGGUACGGAAAUAUAAGCAUAUUGAUUGCAAACUCAUUUCCUAAUAAUAAAUAAAUUUAGAAGUACAAUUAUGUUUUCAUUUUCUCACAUUGAGGGGGUAAUGGGUUAUAUAGUCCAAUGAUAUUUGUUUUCUCUUCAUAAAUCAUGGCACUAUAAUAAUUUUGAAUGGGGCCAUAUACAGAAAACCAUUAUAUUUUAGUCAUUUUUUUCUGUUCAACAUAUUUUCAUUUACUUUCUUAUUAUAGCAUCAUACUUUCAUUUCUUCCAGUUAUAGCAUCAUACUUUGAAAAAUAUACCCAAUUACACAUGGCUACAAUGGCUUGAUAAGAAAAGUUGAAAGUAGAAUGCUAUAAAUGGGUGGAUUUUGAAAGUACCUAUAUGCUGGUCUUGGGUCAUUUAUUAAAGGCUAAAAUGCUAGAAAUAGCAAUUUACUUUCAUCGAUUUGCUUAUCAGAGCAUCAUACUUUCUCUUUUUCCUANUGAUUAAUUGCUAAUCAAAGUCUGUUCAUUUUCAAGUUUUAAUUUGAAUAAAUGCUAAUUAGUUGUGUUAAUUAGCACCUUGGCAGUUUUGUUUUUUCUUGUUUCUAUUUCCUUUUUUUCCCAGCUGUUCAUGAUUGAUUUAGUAUACCUUUUCUUUCAUCCACCAUCUACUUGUUCUCUCUUGCCAACAAUAUAAAGCAUAGCAUACAACUGAUUUCUUGUUUUUAGUUAUUUGGUUAUAUAUAACAAGGGUAUUUUGGUCAUUUGACAAACCUUCUUCCUUAAUGGAGUGUCAAACACCAUGAUCUGAUUUCUCUUAAUUCAUUUUUUCACCAUAAAAUCCAACAUUAACUUUGAAUCUUUCACAUGUAGGCCCAGAUUUUUUGGCCUAGGUAGUCUUCUAUCCUUAUGCUGAUUCUGUGUCUUUCAGAAGUAUGCUUCUUAUGAUCCUUCCACUCGCUUCAUGUCGUUGAUUCUGUCUGUCACCACCAGAACCUCAUAAAAGUUUCUGCUGACGUGUCACACUAGUGUUGACCUGGAAUUUGUGAAAAGUCCAAUGCCAUAUAUUUUCUCUUCAUAAAUCAUGGCACUCUACUUCUGCUUGCCUUAUGAAAUCCACCCAAGUUUGGAGAAAUAUUCUAUGCUGACCACUUUGACCUACUAUAGCAGGUUAAAGUGGUCACAAUAGAAAAUUUUGUCAAAGUUGAGUGACUUUAGUGAAAUUAAGAGGACUAAACUUUGACAACCUUUUCAAUUAUGACCCACUUUAACCUGCUAUAGUAGGUCAAAUUUGUCGAUAUAGAAAGAAAUUUCAAACUUGGGUAGGUUUGAUGAGCUAAAACUGAAAUGGAAUUGUUAAACUGCAAAAAAAUGGCCGAGAUAUUGUGAUUUUUCUAUAUAUUGCCCUUUUGUAGUUCAACUUACAUUGUCGACGUUACUGAACUACCUUAGUUUUGGGAAGCACUUGUGCAUGUACAUAGCAAAUAGCUAAGCUUUGUUAAUUUAAAUAGAUCCAUUGAUUUUUCAUCUGUUGUUGUAGUGUUCUCAAGUAGGCGUUGCUUCUUGGUUCUUAUGCCAAUACUCCAAAAUGAUUUAUAUAAUUGAGUGUCCUGCCCUAUCAAGAGUGUUUCCAUCCAAUGUAGUGGGACAACUGAAUAAGCUUGAAGAGUUGAUAAUAGAAGAAUGUAAGUCAAUGGUGGAGAUAUUUGAAAGUAAAGAAAUAAACAAAGAUGGUGUUGAUAGUACUACGAAUGUUGGUGAUGGAAGUGAUGAUACUUGUACUGCAAUCACCCUCCCAAGGUCGACCAAUAUGACUCUGCUUCAAUUGCCCAACCUAACAAUAUUGUAUAUAUAUAAAUGUGAAGUAUUGGAAUAUAUAUUCACAAGUUCCACACUUGAAAGCCUCAAGCAACUCAAAGAACUGACUGUAAAACAAUGCAAGGCAAUGAAAGUGAUUGUGAAGGAAGACGGAGAUUUACCAGAACUCAAGGGUUUCUUCCCUCGUCUCAUGUCCCUUUUGCUGGCUGAUUUACCAGAUCUCAAGGGUUUCUUCUUGGGGGGUUUCAGGUCGGUUCAUAUAUAACCACUUCCCAUUUUUUGUAUGUAUAAAAAGUUACGAAAAUAUGCAAUUUUUUUUUAAUAUAAGUUAAUAUUUCAUUCCUAAGAUAUUAAGUGGUCUCUUAUGUUAUAAAAGAUGUUAUAUUCACUAAUUCAUAAGUUAGCAAUUUAAUAUUUUAAUCAAGUUAGAUGAAGUAAAGACAAAAGGCCCAAUUGACGCAUUCACUGAGGGUGGUUUUUUCCAUGUCCAAAGAUUUUUGAACAUAUACUAUACUAGUUUCCGUUUGAUCAGAAUCAGAUCAACAACCCCUUCUUCUUUACAGUGUCCCUAUUGUAACCACAAAAAUCAACAAAUACAGGGACCAAAUUUGCAGUUUUCGCUAAAACGUAUUUUAAUUUGACAAAAAAAUUGAUCGGUUUGUAGAAAAACAAAGUAUUCAAUUAAAGGAAUAACAAAAUAAGCACCUAAGAAAAAGUGCUUCUAAAAUUUACAAAAUAUUUACGUUCCUUAAAAAUACAAGACUUAAGAAUUUAUAUCAAAUAUAUGAACAUAAAAAAUUAUUUUCUUGUGUAUUACAAAUGAUACUUUUCAAGUUCAUUCUUAUUCAAAUCAUUUGUAAAUUUCAUAGAAUGUGAUCGUUUGGUACCUGACAUAAAUCAUUAAUUAGGAACUUAGAACUAACAUCUUCAUUCGGUUAAGAAAAGAAAACACAAAAUAGAUGGAAAUUAAAGCAUUGCCUUAUUUUACAUAUUUUCACUCAUAUCUGUUAACAAAUAGAUUUUUGUAUGGAAGUAUAUAUUGUAAUUAAAUCAUUUAUAUCGUUUCAUCCAAUUUAAUUCAGUUAUCUAACAUAUUUUACAAAUAUUGUGAUGUUAGUUGUUACUUAAUCAAGUUCUUUUCUCUCUCAUCUUUUACAAGCUAAACAUUUUUUUAGCGUUUAUUUCCUAAAAUUGACGAAAAUAGUAUAACUAAGAUGAUUCUAAAAGUGUAAGUAUAUCAUUUGUUGUAUUUGACAAUGCAAUAAAAAAUACAAUAACAUAAUUAUCUUUUUUCCUAAAAAAAUUGGAUGUAAAUAUCCGGUACAUGAAAAAUUACCCUUUUUGAAGUAGCCAAAACACUUAAAAGAGGUGACUUUGGGUGGAUUAAAUAAUUUGAAGCAUAUGUGGAAGAGCAAUCGGUGGAUAGUGUUGAACUUUCCAAACCUUACAAAGGUGUCGAUUUUUAGAUGUGACCUUCUUGGGCACGUGUUCACUUGUUGCAUGGUUGGUAGUCUAUUGCAUCUCCAAGAGCUAAAAAUAAGUUACUGCCAGAGUAUGAAUGUGAUUGUGAAGCAAGUUGAAGAUUCCGAGACCAGACCGACUACUGAGGUUGUGUUCCCUUGUCUGAAAUCCAUAAGACUUCACAACCUUCCAAAUCUCAUGGCAUUUUUCCUGGGGAAGGAGGCUUUUAAAUGGCCAUUAUUAGAUACUUUGGAAAUCAAAAAUUGUCCAAAAAUAACAGUUUUCACAAAUGGGCAAUCAACUACUCCAGAGCUGAAGUUAAUAGAUACAACUUUUGGAUUGUGUCAUGCAACGGAAGACCCAAACUCUUUUAUAAAGACCAAACAACAAGAGGUACGUGGUGUCUCCUUUGGUUAUUAUUAACAGAUUAAUAUGUUUGAUCGAACAAAACGUUUACUUUACUCUCGAAUUUACAACUUGUUGUAAUCUCCUAAAGGGAUGGGAGUUCUAGAGCAACAUCAAAUUUACACGUGUGGUUUGGUUCGUUUUGAAGUUAGCUAUAUAGCACAGGUAAGAUUACAUCGUACACUUAUUUCCUUCUUCCCAAUCAUGUACAUGUUUCUCCACCUUAGUUAUCUGAUCAUUGAAUUGACUUUUUGUCACAGUUGCUUGCUUACUACUCUUUCAUUUCGGGUUAUUGAACUUCUAUUUUCAAGUAAUCUUAUCUGUGAUGUGUCCACUUCUUGUAUUUAAUUAAGCUGUGACCAACUUAGCAAUAAUUACACAAGUUUUUAUUAAUUGGUCUGUACAUGUUCCACUAUUUUAAAUAGUAAAUAAAUUCAGUGGUUGAAGGUGCAUAGAAUGAUAAUCCAUCAUACAUGAAACUUUCUUAGCUCACACCAGGUAAGAAAGAAAAAAAAAUGAAGCUAAUUUGCUAGAACAUAAAACUUCUCUUAAUUCGACAGAUCUGUGCUCUUAAUUUUUAUGAACGCCCGGUGUUUGAUAAAAUUCUUCAAUGAAAAAAGACCCAUAAACUUUUGGCUCCUUUUUUAAGUCAAGUGUAUUAAUGUUUGUUUUGUAUAUGAGCACUUAAAUUUUGAGGAAGCGACUCCAUUUCUCUCUUGUAAGUUGAGUGUGUCAGUGUCACCCAUAUAAAAGCUUUGUUUUUCAAUCUCUGAAAUAAAAAGAAUAAAAUUUGGUUACAAAUAUCUUAUGUUCAGUGCCGGUUUCCAUCGCCAGCUUCAAUGAAUCUAUCUCAUGAUGAUUUUGAAUUAACAAUUGUUCACUAAACCUAGAUAAGUUACAAUUAUGCCCAUGACUAUGAGCCAUCCAUUGAUUAUUUUAAACCUAUUGAGAAACAGAACACUUAUGCAUAUUAUCUGAUUUUUGAUGCAUCUGAGGUUUAACAUUUUUUUUUAUAAUCAAAUUUAGGUUGAUAUUGGAGUUGCCAUUUAUAAUCAAAUUUAGUUUGAUAUUGGUUGGUUGUUUGUGGAAUUCAUAUGUUUAUGGAAUUCAGUGUUAAAAGUAUAAAUCAACAAAAAUAGAGAAAAUCACGCUCAGAUUCUGAAAAUGCCACUUAAGUAGAAAUUAUUUGAAGAAAAAACAUUAUAUUUUCAUUCAUUGUUUAAUUUAUCUCUUUGUGCAUGUUUUUGUUGACAUACCAUUGUACCAUAUGAUAACAUGAAUUUUUUUUUAUGUGGUGGCUGGUUUAGUUGGAUUAAAAGACAUUACCUGUUAAGUUGAUUUUAUGUGGUGGCGGGCUUAGUUAGAAAUAUUUUAUGAAAAACACAUUAUAUUUCCAUUUCUUCAGCAUCUUCAAACCUUUGGUCAUUUCUUUGAAGUUGCAUAAUGAUCAAUGUUGCAUACUUUAUGUCAGUCGUAUAAAUUUGUAUUGAAAGUGAAACACUGUUGCAGAAUUUGUCUAAAAAAAAAAUUGGUGCAUAAACUGGUCCUAGAAUGAAACAUAGUUGAAUAAUGCAUAUUAUGUCUAAAAAAAUAUUUUGUUGCAUAAAUUGACUAACAUGUGCAAUCAAUGUACGUGGCUUAAACAUGUUAAACCAUAUGGUUAAAAAUGUAAUUCAUUCACUUUUCUUAGAAGCAUAUGGUUCCUAGUACAAAUAGAAUCCUAAUAGACAGAUGAAAAUAAAAUCAUAUUCCUAACCAUCAAACGGCUCCUAGGUGAUUACUUCUUCCCUUUGCUCGACUCAAACGGCUCUAGCUUCGGCCGCAAAGAGUUGACGUUUGAGAUUGGCUAUUUCUUUCUCAAGAGAGUGUAUGUAGUCUGUAUCACUUUCCUCAAUAGUGUAUGAGUCUGAUAGGGCUUCCGAUGGGUGGGGCUUACUAGGUGUAUCCUUAACGUCCUUUCCUUCAUCUGACUCCUGGUUAGAUUCGUCAUAUUUGUAAUCAGUUACCACGUACUCUUCCGGUUCCACUCUGGGUCCCACCUCCCAUUGCAGGGCCUCCUUCAGGGUUUUCUUCAGGAUUGUCAUCUAGACCCACAUCAAUCUCCCUAUAGACUACUAGAGCUUGAUAGUAGGGGUCGUCUUGCUGCAUUCCUGCCAUAUUGCCCGCAUGGGAAGUAUAGGUGUGAAAAGUGUGUGCAUUGGGGUGUAUAAGGAUAAUAUUCUUAAAAUAUUCCUACAAUGUUUAUUUUUCUUAAGUUUAGUUCCUCUAACCUAUUUGGAUAGUUAGAUGGUAAGCUUUCGGUUUAUUGACCAUCACGAUUAUUCCCAAACAUAUGUUGAUCGUACUUUGAAUGAAUGUAGUUAAUCAGGCUACAUUGAUCCCCAAUGCGAUUACAUAACUGCCCAUGUUAAAUCGCAAUGUUCAAAUCCCCCAAAGACUUUUAUUGUUUAGUAUCAUGCUAUUAUUCUAAAACACGCACAUAGGUAAGUAUUUUAUUUACUCUGUUCAGAGUUAUUUAGCCCCAUUAUGUUUAUAGUUGCAUAUCAUGUAUGCUUAGAUAUGUUAGUUCACUAUAAACAAAGCUCUGAUACCAACCUGUCACACCCCUGAACCAGACGACGGAAACGUCCGGGGGUCGUGUGACUUGAAUUGAAAUAUUAUCACAAUGAAUAUACAAGAAACAUAACAUAAACAUGACCAUGCAGUAAUACAUUACAACUGACCUUGUUCACAUCAAGUACAUUGUUUACAUUACAAUAUCACAGAGCAUAAAUUGUUUAACGAUUGACAUUUGCACAAAAGAAAUUUCAGAAACACGCUUGAUGAUUCUUCAUUCUAACGGUUACCUGAGAAUACAAGUUAUUUUGAAAACGGUCAACAUAUAUAAUGUUGGUGAGUUCAUAAACAUGUUUGAUAUAAAAAUAGUUUGUAUUUUUUGUAAAACCCAGAAAAUCUGAUAUUUCCUGUAACAAAACUGUUUACGAAAAAGAUGUGAUGAUCUCAUAAGUGUAUAUGUAUGUGAUUUCAAAACAUGUAAAAAUGAAUGUCUUUCAUAAUUGUUCCUUGUAUUGUACUUGUAUGUAGAAGUGAAUAAUGUCGUUCCCCGGAAAACCCGAUGUUUCCCAAUUUAAAUAGUAUGAUAGUUUUGUAUUAUUGUAUAAAUCACUUUGCAUCGUCACAGUGUAUGAAUAUGAUUUCCCAUGAGUACUUAAAUGGUAAUGGAUCUCUAUGUGAGUCGUUAUAACCAUACAUAAUAGUGACUAAUUCGUCUGUCUUGGCAUUUUUCCUAACGCCGGGUUUGAUCAAGAUUUUGUCACCCUAGACUGGCCGAGUCUAACUGUAGCGAACAACUUAGGUGUGGAGGAGUCACCCCUGUAUAGAUCUAUAGACAAACUCUCGCUCUCCCUCCAGAAGACUCUGAUUACAGGCUACGACCGACUCUUAUUGGUGCAACCCGUUAUUUCUCACUAAAUCCCAUGAAAUUGAAUAACCUUGUUUUACAAUCCGAAUGAUGUUUACGUGAAUAUGAAGUAAGCCUAACAGUCAUGAAAGAGGACAACGGUGGCCCACUAAUCAUGUAUGUUAUUAUAGGUUGUCGAGUAUGCGACGGACAUGUUAGCUCAUCAUGCAUAUGAUUGAUUUGGACCAUACUAGCAAUGCAACUGGGCCAUUAAGGCCCAAUAACAUGUAAAAGCCAUUGAUGGUCCAUUAGGCAUGUAAUUGGGUCACUGGAAUCCCAAUAAACAUGUAUUAUUUAUGUUGUUUACCCAUUUUGUAUGUUAAUAGUGUCGUAAGAUUUGUUUCACACGAAGCUUUUAAUCGUAAAGUUAUAACAUUCGUCAAUCGUUUUAUAACAAUAUUCUAAAUUUAUAAAAGCAUGCAUUUUUAAAUCCAUAAGAUAUAAAAUUUUAUAUUUUUGGCUCAAUUGUUUUAAUAAGAGCAUAUUUGACCCGAAAAUAUUUGUUUGACCAAUUCAGCUCAAUUUUCACAUAAUAUUACGAUUUCAGCCCUUUUUAACAAAAAUGACAUUUUUAGUCAUUUUUAAUGAAAAAUGACAUUUUAGGUUCUUAAAUUAUUUUUCUUGACAUUUUCGACCCAAAAACUAAUUAAAUAGUAAUUUCAGACCAGAAUAUAAUCACUGGGCAGUUUCAGCCCCUUAUUUGGAAAAUUUUGCAUUUAUGGUCCAAAUUUCCGCAAAUUUCACAAUCUUGGCCCAAAAUCCAAAAACUUUGCAUUUUUAGUCCAAUUUGGCAAUAAAAUCAUUUUCAACCCCCUGAAAUUUAGUUAUUUAUGUUUUAGACUCAUACUUUUAUGAAUUUACAAUUUCAGUCCCUAAAACUCUUCAUUUUCGCAAGUUUGGGCCCAAAGAUCCGUGAGGCCCAAAUAUAAGCCCAUUAAGUAGAAUUUUAUAUUUUUGGUCCUUUGAAAAGUAUUAUUUUCAUAAAAAUCAGCUUUUAAAUAAAUAAAUACUUUAUAACCCUCAUAAAACCAAAAAUUAUCAACUUUCAACCCAAUCUUUAUUAUUUUUGCAAAAAUGACACUUGUAAAGAUCUUUGGCUUUGUUUUUCACUUAUUAAACUUAAGGACUCUUAGAUCUAUGAUGUAUGUUGUUUAUUAUUUUUUGUUUAUGAAUAUUUCACAUUUUAGCUAUAGAUCCCAAAAUAUCUUAAGUAUUAACACAUUAUCACAACAAAAACCAAAGAAAUCAAAUAUAACAUGCAAACACACAUAGAUCAACACAUAACACUUGUAGUCUCCCCCCAAAAACAAGUAAAAACUGAAAACAAUGGGGUAUGAACUCACCUUGCUUAGUUUCUCACGGUUUUGAAGAAGAAAUGGAAGAGGUUGAUGUGAUUUUCGGCCCUAGUAAGCUUCUUGAGAGGACUUUGGUUUAGAUGGAUUCUAAGGAGUAGAUCACGAAUUUUGCAUGAAUUAGGAGGAGAUAUUUUGAUGUAAUAAAGAAACUAAGCCAUGGAUCUAAGUAACAACUUAGCAAGGAUGAUGAUUUUUAUGGAAAAACCUUCUUGAAAUGCCCUAGAUCUCGAAAUUUUUGAGAGGAAAUGAGGGGUUGUUGUUUUGAGUGUUUGAGAGAAAAUUCAAGUGAGGUGUGUGUGUGUUUUUCUUGUCUCUCGGCCGAAGGAAAGAAAAAGGGAAGAGGGAAAGAAAGAAUGGCAUGGAAACAUGAGAUCAUGCAUAGUUACAUGUUGUGUAAUAUGCUUAGAUGACCACUAAACAAUAAUGAGGUGGCUAGCACUCAUUAAUCUUCUUAGUUUCUCCUUUUUUGUAUUGGGCCGAAAUGGGCUAAAGAAAGAGGAAAGGAAUCACUUUGGCCCAUUCUUGGUCUUGCUCGAAAGUGUGAAGUCUCUAUACAAGUUUUCGGCCCAUUGGGCCUUUAGGGUAGUUCAUGGCCCAAUGAAAUCCAAUUAGAGAGGGUUUACGGUCCAAUAAGGAAUUUAAUUCACUUAUGGCCCAAUAAGGCCCAUUAGUGUAAAAUGAUCCAUUUUAGACCCAUAAGGCCCAAAAGGUUAAGUUUCAUGAAAGUGGGUCCAAUUAGGGCCUAUUUAAGGGUUCCAAGCCCAAAGUAGUCAAAUUGGAAGCUUAUUGGUCCAUUAGGCCCAAUAAGGAAAUCCUAGUCCAUAAUGGACUUAGGUCGUGAUUCUUAGGGUUUUCAAACCCUAACUUGACUUUGUAAUGUUUUGCAUGAUGUUUGGGCUUUAUAGUUGGAUUUUUAUGAAAGUUUGUUGUUAUUGAAUAACAUCAUAUGCAUAUCAAGUUAUGGUUACAAUUUGUUGUCAUUGAUAUUGUUUACAAAAGUAUAGAAUUUCCUAGCAAAUUUGCUAGUUGUGACAGAUACGACCCGUAUGGGUCGAUUUGGUCAAGUCUACCGACGCAGGAGAUAAGUUCUAGAUUGAUGUGGGAAUAAGUUUUAAUAUUCCUUUAGGAUUCAAGUUUCCUUUUUUACAGUUUCUUUUUAUUAAUGUAUUAGUUUUGGAUAUUGAUUAGGUUUUUUGUUAUUAAGGAUUUUUUUAGGUUUAGCUGGACAUUAUAAAUAAAGCACCUUAGGAACACAUUUUUCUUUAUGCAUGGAAUAAAAGUCUUUGACUGUUUUUUUCGUAGAAUUCCUUGUUUCUCGAAUCACAGGCGGGUCGACUAAGGUUCUUACCUUUGGGAAGUAUCUUAAUCUUAUUAAAGAUCUAUGUCAGAUGCUGUUAUUUCACCACCUGAAAUAUUAACAAAAAAAAUAAUAAAAAAGUUUCCAAUUACAACUAAAAAGUUUCACUGCCCCUCUCCCAAAACAGAAUCUAGACCUCAGGUAGCAAUGCGAGUGAAAAGAGUGACAACAAUACUAGUAUAACUUACACCGACUCCAAAGGUGAUUUGGAGACACAAAAUAGGUAUUUUAAACUUCUUUCAAUCAUUGAAUUAAAAAGAGUUAGUCACAAGAAUUGUCCUUGUGUUAUACCCAAAGUUGCAUAUUCAAUCCAACUUUUUUUUUUUUUUUUUUUUUUUCUGUUUCAUUUUGGUCCCUAACAUUGGUUUUUGUUUCUGAUUUAUCACUGGUCCUGUAAAAUGACAUGUAACAAUAGUUUAAAAAUAAACAAAUUAUAGAAAAUUUUACAUUUUUGUUCCUCGAGUAUGGCUGCUUUUUGCAAUUUUGGUCCUAAAAUGUUUUCUUUUGCAUUUUUGGUCCUUAUUUGACAUUCGUGUAAUGGUUUUGGUCCCGGUUCCAAAUUAAGUGACAAUUUUUUCUCUAUGGGUGUGAUUUUGCAAUUUCGAUCCCAAAAAUAGCCAUUUUACUAGGAACAAGGGCAAAAAACGUUAUAAAAAUCUUAAAUAAGGACCAAAUUAGCAUGACACCCUUUUGGGACCAAAAUUAAAAACAUCAACUAUACUCAGGGACCAAAAAUGCAAUGUACUUUAAAAAGAAACAUAUGAGGGUAGAAAAUUCAUUUUAUUGUAGAAGUUGAACUAAACCUGAAAUGUUGGGAAUAACAUAGAGACCAUUCUUGUAAUUACUCUAAAAAGAAUAGAAGUUGGUAACAAAUGUCUGCCUUAUGAUGGGUGCAAUCUUUCAUCGCCACCAUUAUGACGUUUUGGACUUUACCAUUGUUCAUGAAACCCCGAGAAAUGACUAUAAUGCCCUUGAUCAUGAGCCACCCAUUCUGAAGGAGACACCAAUCAAGAGCAGUUACCCUGCUACUCUUGAAUCUGUCUCUGAGUCAACCAUAAUCUAAUCAAAGUUUCCCACUCGUUCCUUUUCUUCCCCUUGUUCCACAUCAGCUUCUGAAUGCAUGAACACAACAACACCGCCUAAAUAACAACAAAUCCCUCAAAACAAUUCACAUAUAGAUUCAAGUGUCAAUUCCCAUUUUCAUAAAAGAAGAAAGUCUUCAGCUUUUGCAUCAGUCAAGAUGGCCCACUUUGAUUCCCCUGACCCUAAAACCAAAUUUCCAGUGAAAGAAACCAUGAAUCUUGGUGAUGAAACCAAGAAUGAUCUAAAAAUAUCGUGUUCACUAUGUGAAAAACCCACUGGGUCUUGCGGAAAAUGACUAUUAUGUCCCUUGUUCUUUGAUGUCGUUAUCAAAGGUGCAGUUGUUGUCAAGCUGGAAAGGGAGAGAAAAGGGUCUCACAAGUGUAGUUGUUGUGGUGUCUGACAUUGCAUGUGUUGAUGGGAGAAUUUGGAAAAGAAGUGGUGAUGAAGGAAUUUGGAGCAAAGAAGAUGGUUGUUUAUUUAGUACGGCUUUCUACCCUUUCUGUAGUGAUCAAGUCAAUUGCCUUGGGUUACAUGUUGUGGCAACUGAUUCCUCUAAUGUGCAGCUUUUAAACACGGUAUCAUAUCAAUUCAUACUAUUAUAAUAUCUUGUCGCAUAUCCAACUGAUAAUUAUUGAGGGCAUAUUGGUCAUUUUGUUGAUUUAUGUUUUGGGAGUUGGGAGUUGGGAUGUGAUGAAUAUGAUCACAAAAUAUCUUUGAUCCUUCAGAGAUAUACAACCAACUUAUAUAACUUUUCUAUAUGCAGGUGCUCUUUUAUUCUGAAAGACUAGAAAUCCAACAUAUCGAUACAUCAACAACAAAUAACCUAAUUUUGCAUACGUUUCAAAUCGAAAGUGACUCCCUAAAAACAUUUGCAACUUUUGUCUUAUUAAAUCAGGCACACAGUCCCAGUCCAAUACAUACCAAAUGCAAUACAACCUGUUUUUUCAUAUACCGUCAUGUGUAACAAAGGAUUUUAAUUGAAGGAAGUCUCACCUUCUAGUGUUACAAGUUUGAGUAAAGGCGUCUCACAAAAUCCGUUUGAGAAAUUUGCCUACACAUCUCCACAAACCAACUCGAUGGGCUGGAGAACCACAAUAUCUAAGGUCAAAAAUCUCUAAUAUCUUGUUAUUUAUAGAUUCAUUAAACGUAUUUUAAAUUCUAGUUAAAGUUAAACUAUGUUUGUUGAUCAUGCAUAUGAGAUUACCAAAGAAAGUCCAAGUAUCCACUACUGAAUAUUGAUGCCUAACCUUACAUGUAAAUUCUCAAUCAUUGCUAAAUUGGUUUUAAACCUAUUUGGGAAAUUUAGGAUCUAUGGUUAUUAUAUUAACUUCAUGAUACAUUUGAGGUGUAUGACCAAUAAAAUGUGACUAUUGUAGUUGUAACAUUCUUUAUGACCAGCCAUAGUUUUAAUUUUGUUGUUUAUAAUGUUGUUUUCCUGAUUUUGGACAUGUUAAAUAAUCAACUCUAAUACGUUUUAAUUAAAGAGAUAAUAUUUUGAUGUGGAAAGUUGGAAUGAUCAAAUGAUUAGUAUUUAGUAGGUUAAGUGUUUUUAAUGAUAAAUAAAAUAUUUUUUACUAUAAAAUAGCCAACAAGACCAUAAAAGUAAUAUUUUGCUAAACAUGAAAUUAUAUUUCACUAAUUCAACCAUUUAAACCCUCUUCCAAGAAAACCAAUGAGACCAUUAUGGACUAUGAAAAAGAGAAUACGGAAAUGAUAGAUGUUGAAAUGAUGAAAGAAAUAUCUUACUUAAAUUUGUAUCACUCUUUAUUGUCUAAUCAUUUCAUAUUUUCCUAUUUGUUUUUCAUUUUUCAUUAGGUUUCAUGAUUUUUGUAGAUGGUGGUUUCUGAUAGUGAGGUCACAGAUUAAAUUUAUGUAAAUUUGUGCGUUCAAAUGUUAAAGGUCAUUCGAACGUAUUUGCUAUUGAUAUUUGAUUAUUUUUACUAUUAUUAAUUUGGCUCAAACGGAAAAGGACAACUCUUUGCAGUUAGAUAAAAAAAAAAUUGUGAUCGAAUUUACUUUGACUGCAUUGGUAAAAUAUGAAACAAUUAAAGAAGUUUGCAAUCACGUGGACAUAUUGCAUACUCAAGUGGUACCGGUUAGAGUCAUAUAUUCAAACACUUCAAUCUAAUACCAUGAGGGGAUAAUGACUUGGGAGGGUAAUAAGGUUUCCAGCUUGUCCGUAUUAGGUCACUAAGGUUUUUUUUGUGCGUAUUAGACCAAUAUGGUUGUUAUUACCGUUUAGAAAUAGUCCUUUUACCGGUUUUAAUGGGUAAAAAGGACAAUUUCUAAACGGUAAUAGCAACCAUAUUGGUCUAAUACGCACAAAAAAACCUUAGUGACCUAAUACGGACAAACUGGAAACCUUAUUGCCCUCCUAAGUCAUUAACCCUAAUUAUUUAGAAAACAUGCUUACUAAUCAAUGUGACUGAUUUGUUUGACUGAAAAUUUUGCUUCCAUUUAAACUUAUCUCACAACCCUUCCAGAACUUCUACGUCCAGAAACUCAUAUGAUUGAUGAUCUUCAUUACAUAAAUAUGCAACAUUUUAUCAAUAACUUCUUUUUUGUCAUUUAAAUGUUUACAUGAACACAUCCAUAUGUACAAAAACAAAAUAUCACUUUGAUACCUACCAUCAAUGUCUACAUUUGAUAACGAAUGGAAAUGUAAAACCAACAGGGACUUGCAAAUGAUGCCUAUUAUCAAUUAUUUUAUAAAAAGCAAAACCACAACAUGAACUAAGAAAUUGAAGUUGCAAAAUUAAUCAAAAUCAGCACAUAAACAAACACAUACAGACUAUAUACAACACAUAACGGAAGUUUANCUUAAUGAUAGGAAAAGUAAAAAACUUAAAGGAGACUUUAUAGAAAGAAAGAUCACUCUUACUUGCCACAAAUGGUUGAAGACAUCAACAAGAAGAUCAAUCUGACCAUAGAAUCCACAUGUUGUCUGAUUAUGAAUUCAGUAGAUGAACUACUGAAACGUAAGAAUUGCAAUUCAACUCUAUUAGCAUUUGAAAAGGGAAUUAGGGUUAAAAAAAAAUUGGACCAUUUCUUGAUUUGUGUGUGUCAUCCUUGCGCAGGGGCCAUGCAAAUCUUCCAUGUAUCGUUCCAAUUUUAUUGGAUGUCCCCAAAGGGACGACUAUAGAUGAAGAGCUUCGCCAUAUAGAGGAGUAGCAGGUUAUAUGGGACGACGCGAGUUCUAAACGAAGUAGUUUACUAUUGAUGGUCAUAUAUUCUUAAUGUCUUUAAAAUUAGUGUUAAUGACUUAGGAGGGUAAUAAGGUUUUCAGUUUGUCCGUAUUGGGUUACUAAGGCUUUUUUUUUUGUGCGUAUUAGACCAAUAUGGUUGUUAUUACCGUUUAGAAAUAAUCCUUUUUACCCAUUAAAACCGGUAAAAGGACUAUUUGUAAACGGCAAUAACAACCAUAUUGGUCUAAUACGCACAAAAAAAACCUUAGUGACCUAAUACGGACAAACUGGAAACCUUAUUACCCUCCCAAGUCAUUAUCCCUACCAUGAGUGUCCAAAAUUUUUUCUCAUUAUUUUUUCUCAUUAUUUUAAACCAUUUAAUUUAAUAUGAUAUGGUUUUUUAAAACACAUGUUUUAGUUGUUAAAUUAAAUUAUUACGUAAGCUUUUUCAAAUAUUAGACCAACUAAUAAUCAUCCCACUAAAUACAAUUAUUUUGAAAUUUUUUACAAAUUCUCUUUUUCUUUUUUGCAAAGGGAUGCCCAAAAUUAGGGGUGAUAUAUAUGUGGUGUAAAUGAAAUAUCACAUAUUAGGGAAUAUGAUUUAUCAAGGUAAUUAACUUUUCGGUAUGUUCACAUCUGGGUAACUAUCUUUUUUUUGUACAUAUGUAGGUAACAAACUUUUUGGAAGUGUUCACAUAUGACCAUUAUGACCUGCUAUAGCAGGUUAAAUCCUAGAUGUGAACGCUUUCAACAAGUUUGUUACCUAGAUGUGUACAAAAAAAAUAGUUACCCAAAUAUGAACAAAACGAAAAGUAAAAAUUAAAUUACAUGAAUGGUCCCUGUGGUUUGGGGAAUUUGUGGUUUUGGUCGCUAACUUAUUUUUUUUUAACUGAAAUGGUCCCUACUGUUUAUUUUUGUUGCGCGUUUGGUCCCCAUCUUACCUAAAAAUACUAUUGUGCCCUUAUUAAUUUAUUUUUUUAAUUAAUAUUCUUAUCUAUGUAUUUAUUUUUUACAUAUUCAAAAAAAUUAAUAGACCACACAUAUUUGUAUCUCCUCCCCAUUAUCUAUUUCUUUUCCAUCUUUAGUAACAUCGAUGUCUUCACCGUCCUUUUUUUUUGGUACUUCAACUCUGGCGAACCAACACCAUAACCUACUGUCUCUUCAUCUUUAGUGGGUUGUGGUGCUGAUUCGACGGAGUUGAAGGACCGAAAAAAGAAGUGAUGAUGAAGACGUCGAUAUCACUAAAGAUGAAAAAUAAAUAGAAGUUGAGAAGGAUGAAAGAUGGGAUGGUGAUGAGAUACAGAUAUGUGAGGUCUACUAAUUUUUCUUAAACAUAUAAAGCAUAAGUACAUAAACAAGAAAAUUAAUUAAAAAAAAUACCAAGGCAACAAUAGUCUUUUUAGGUAAGACAGAGACCAAGUUCAUAACAAAAUUAAAUAGUAGGGACCAUCCGAGUUAAAAAAUUAAAUUAAUUAAAAAAUAAAUAGUGGGGAUCAUCCGAGGAGAUACAAAUAUGUGUGGUUUUUUUUUUUUUUUUUAAAUAUGUAAAAAAUAAAUACAUAGAUAAGAAAAUAAAUUAAAAAAAUAAAUUAAUAAGGGCACAAAAGUAUUUUUAGGUAAAACGGUGAUCAAACACGCAACAAAAGUAAACAGUAGGGACCAUUUAAGUUAAAAAAAAAUAAGUUAGCGACCAAAACCACAAAUUCCCCCAAACCACAGGGACCAUUCAUGUAAUUUAAUUUUUACUUUUCGUUUGUUCAUAUUUGGGUAACUAUUUUUUUUUGUACACAUCUAGGUAACAAACUUAUUGAAAACGUUCACAUCUAGGAUUUAACCUGCUAUAACAGGUCAUAAUGGUCAUAUGUGAACACUUCCAAAAAGUUUGUUACCUACAUAUGUACAAAAAAAAGAUAGUUACCCAGAUGUGAACAUACCGAGAAGUUAAUUACCUUGAUAAGUCAUAUUCCCAACAUAUUAAGGUGGGGUAGGGAUCCGACAUUGUAUCGUGCUUCAAUAGAAACCGGUGGGACCUUUGACUGUUAGUGUAUUACUUGUGCUAUACUCUGUAGUAUGUUAGGCAAUGCUCUUAGUACCUAGAUUAUGACUGUUGACUGCAUUAUUUCCAUCCAUCCAAUACCAUGGUAUUUGCAGGUCAACAGCAAUAAUUGAGGCUUGUUCAUACUUCAAUAUAUUGGCCUUCUUCUUCACAAUUCCAACCAGUUGUACACAUACGCACUUUACAAAGCAGCAAAAACAGCAAGCAUUAGCACAGGCGCAUAUAGUAGAAGAGGUAUGUUUUUGUUGAAAGUUUUUCUCUUUGUUUAUGAAUAAUUUUUCUUAGUUGUUUUUUGUUUUCAAUCUAUCGAAUAUCGAUCCUUGACGAAAUUAUCUGAAAAAAAAUGUUUUGCGUUGUUACUUGUGGAUUGUUCGUGUAUGCUCCACAUAUAAAAUCAAGUAAACGUUUAAAUGAAUGACAGUGCCUCCUCAUUUCCCUCUUUUGAUUAUUGAACAAUGUUUUGGGGGAAUGUUUUUUUUAGGACAGAUGCUUCCACGUAGAGAUCAGUUCUAGCCCUAAUAUCACUGUAGGACUCUGUUUACAACUAAUAAACCCCUAAUUAAAAGGCACGGUAUUUUGUUCCUCAUCUCUCACAAUCUAUUCCCACUUUCAAUAAGAUGUUGAAAUUAACAAUCUAUUCCCACUUUCAAUCAUUUCAAAGAAAACCAAGGUUAAGUUGACAAGGGAAGACAAACAGCAAAAUUAACUAUGAAUUUACAUACACAUUAAUUUACCAACUAUCAAUUCUAUUCUAGCCAAACUUAUUAUGUGUCCUGAAUCCUGAAGGAAACUUUUUAUAACACUAAUUAUCUAUGGAUUGUAUAUGAUAAUUGAAAAAAGAUAGCUAAGCAAGUUAAUAAGUAAUAAGUUUUAACAAUUUCAUUGCCUUUUUUAUCUGUUACAGGUCUCUGUAAAAGCUAGAAUAUUGAAAGAUGGAGCUUGUAUCUGCAAUCAUUAGUCCUAUUGUUGAAUCUUUAAUUGCUCCUGUCAAGAAACAACUGGGAUAUCUCUUUUCAUCCACGAAUCAUGUUAGGAACAUGAAUACUAAAAUAAAGCUACUGGAUGAUACAAGCCGUGAUGUCAAAAAACACAUGGAAACAAACAAUAGAAGUAAUCUGGAGAUACCUACUCAUGUAACGGGGUGGUUGGAAGAAGUUGAAAAGACUAAAGAAAAAGCUCAAAGCAUUCCAAGUAUUGGGAGCGGAUGUUGUAACUUGAAAAUGAGGUAUCUAGUUGGAAAGAAGGCAUUCAAGACUACGGAGGAGAUGGAAAGUCUUAUUGAUGAAAAUAGUAAGAUAAUUUGGACAAAUGCUCAAAGACCUCUUGGGAAAGUGAACUCAGAAAUCGCAUCCAGUUCUGCACCUUCGGAUGGUGAUGCCCAAAAUCACUUCAAAUCAAGAGAGAAGUCUUUUAAGAACGCCUUGGAGUCCCUCCAACAAGAUCACAAGAGCAAAGUGAUAGCCCUAUGUGGAAUGGGUGGUGUGGGGAAAACCACCAUGAUGGAGCAACUGAAAAAGGCUGCAGAAGAUAAGAAAAUGUUUGAUUAUGUUGUGAAGGUGGUUAUUGGGCAACAAAUUAACAUGCUUUCUAUUCAGCAAGAUGUGGCAGUGUAUAUGAUGGGCCAGUCCCUCAUUGAACUGAGUAAAGAAGCUAGAGCAGAUCGUCUUCGUAUAACAUUUGGAAACCUUCUAGAAGGUAGAAGAAAGGUUUUACUAAUACUAGAUGAUGUAUGGGAAACGAUUGACCUCAAAGAUAUUGGAUUGAGUCCUUUGCCCAACGGCUUCAAGUUGUUGCUGACAUCACGAAAUGAAAAUAUUUGCAAACAAAUUGCAGUAGAAGCCAAUUCGGAGUCAACACUAGUUCGAGUGGAUGUGAUGGAAGAGCCUGAAGCAUGUAGUUUCUUUUGGCAAAUUAUAGGUGUUUCAAAACAAUAUGAUAAGGAUCUCAAACAAAUAGGAAGUGAGAUCGUGAGAAGAUGUGGUUUUUUGCCCCUUGCCAUUAAACUCAUCGCCAAAACCCUUCAAUUUCAAGAAGUUUUUGUAUGGAGAGAUACUUUUCAACGGUUGAAGAAGAAGAAUCUUGAUGAGAAUGUGCAAGAAGUUAUUAAGAUAAGCUAUGAUUAUAUAAAAACAGAGGAGGAAAAGGUGAUUUUUCUUCUGUGUGGCUUGUUUCCUGAUGACUUUAAUAUCCCAAUUGAGGAACUCACAAGAUAUGCAUGGGGCCUACAGUUAUUAAGUGAAGUAUCCACUUUGGGAGAGGCUAGAGACAGGACAAAAAUGUGUGUGCAGAAUCUUAGAAAUGCAAAUUUGUUGAUGGAUAGCGAUUGCAUUGGGUGUGUCAAAAUGCAUGAUCUUGUGCUUGCUUUUGUCAUAAAUACAGUUUCUAAAGGUCAUCAUCCAUGGAUAAUCAACCAUGGUGAUAUUUCAAAGUGGAGUAGAGCUGAAGUGAGAGAGUCUUGCAAAAGACUUUCUAUUACUUGCACAGGAAUGUCUGAGUUUCCUGGUGACUCUAAGUACCCAAACCUAUCACUUUUGAGACUUAUGGAUGGAGAUAAGUCACUUAAGUUUCCUGAAGGUUUUUAUGAAAAAAUGGAAAAUCUUGAAGUUGUAGCAUAUGAAAAAAUGCAGUAUCCGUUGCUUCCCAGAUCACUUGAAUGCUCCACCAAGCUCCAAACACUCAUUCUCCAUCAAUGCCUAUUGAUGUUUGAUUUCUCUGUUAUUGGUGAACUCAUGAAUCUGGAAGUGCUCAGUUUUGCUCAUUGUGGCAUCAGAAAGUUACCAUCCACAAUUGGAAAUUUGAAGAAGCUAAAGCUAUUGGAUUUGACGGGGUGUGUAAAUCUUCGUAUUGAUGAUGGUGUAUUGUUAAAUUUGGUCAAGCUUGAAGAGCUUUAUAUGAGAGUUGAUGAUAGAAAGGCAAUUAGGUUCACAGACAGCAAUCGUGUUGAAUUAGCAGAGCUUUCAAAUCAUCUUUCUGCAUUAGAAGUUGAGUUCUUUGACAACAAUGGUACGCCCAAGAAUAUGCUGUUUACUGAACUUAAAAGGUUUAGAAUCUCUAUGGGAUGUGGUUUAGGAGACAAUACUCACAAAAAUAUGCACUCAUUUGAAAACACAUUGAGGUUGGUCACUAACAAAGAUGAGCUGUUGGAAUCUACAAUGAAUGAGUUGUUUGAGAAAACCGAGGUGCUUUAUUUGGAGGUGGAUGGUAUGAACGAUCUUGAAGAAGUUUUAAUGGAAUCAGUUCAUCUCCCUCAGCAAGCGUUUAAUAAUCUAAGAGUCCUUGAUGUGUUCAAGUGUGAAAACUUGAGGUACCUCUUCACAGUCCCUAUUGCAAAUGGUUUGGUGAAGCUUGAGCGCCUCACAGUUUCAGAGUGCUCUGUUCUUGAAGUACUUGCACAUGGUGAAAAUGGUGGAGCUGAGAAAAUUAAGUUUCAGGGGCUAAAGUUUCUAGGAUUGGAUAGGCUACCAAAGCUGAUAGGUCUUUGCAACACUGCUAAUGUAAUUGAGCUACCACAGCUGGUGGAGUUGGAACUUGAUGGCCUUCCUAACUUCAAUAGCAUUUAUCCAAAGAAAACAUCUGCAACAUCUUCUAUGUCCAGUAAUGACUCUGCAAUUCAACCAUUAUUUAACAAACAGGUACCUCUAUAUUAGGAUUUAUGUUGACAGUUUCAUAGAUUGACUUAUAAUCAACAAGUCUUAAUUGUUGUGCAGGUGCUGAUUCCUAAGUUGGAGAAAUUGAGGAUUUGGAGGAUGGAUAAGCUGAAAGAGAUAUGGCCUUAUCAAGUUAUAAGUAGCAAAGACGUUGAUGCCUGCGUGUUGAGAAAGAUUGAAGUGAGGGGAUGUGAUAAUCUUGUGAAUCUGUUUCCAACCAAUCCCAUGUCUUUGCUGGGUUGUCUGGAAGUGCUUGAUGUUUCUAAUUGUGGAAACAUUGAAGUGUUAUUUAACAUCGACAUGAGUUGUGUUGGUGAAAUUGAAGAACACAGUAGCAACUUGAGACAAAUUGAAGUAUCUAAUUUGGAGAAGCUAAGAGAGUUGUGGAGGAUGAAAGGUGAAAGUAGCUCUGAUAUCCUCAUCCGUACCUUUCAAGCUGUUGAAAGUAUAGAAAUAGAAGAGUGCAAGAGGUUUGUAAACGUAUUCACACCGACCGUCACCAAUUCUGAUGUGAAAACAGUUAUGAAUGUGAGUAUAGAUGGAAGGAGACCUUCUGAAGAAACCAGGAGCAACAUUGAAUUGGUUCAGAACAGCCAGGAGGUAUGUGAUGUCAUUGAGCUUUCAAUUUCUCUUUUGAUGUUAACAACUUAUGUAUAUGUGUCUCUAUACAUACAUACACGUAUAUAACAUAUCACACUACAACAAAUCAAUCAAUUCUACACAAUUCUUUCGAUGUGUUCUGCUAGAUUCUCACUCUUGAAUUUCAAUCACACAAGGAUGGAAAGGAGAAAUACAAGAAAUUAUAGAUCUCACACUGGAAAUUGAUGAUCUAAUGAUCAAUUUUACAUACAUGUGAUAGAAAUCUGGCGGUUUGAGUUGCCAAGAUCUCCCAAAGCGACUAAUCUCUAAAAUAAUUGAUAAGAUGUCUCUCCUAACUGAUCUCUUACAAUAUAAAGGCAUAACUGAAAUAGUUAAUUUACUUAUUUACCCGUGCUGCCCACAAUUGCUUACUCAUGGUUUAAAUCCUUUCUUGCCUCUUUGUGAAUAAGUAAGAAUUGGUUUAUUUCCCUUCUUGCCCCUCCUUGAAUAUGUGAACAUGAGUUAUAUUUAUUUGUAAUUAUAUUUGUUGUUGAGAUAUGUGCAGAUUAAUGUAAUAUCCAAGGAAGAGAUCAUUUCAGAGGUGGAUGGUAAUAUUCCUGACGUUGAAUCCUCAAUUCAUCCCAAACCUUUUAACGUUAAUCACCUUCAAGUACUUGGCUGUAAGGAUGUUGAAGUGGUGUUUGAGAUAGAGAGUUCCAGUAACAGCAACAGCACCACAGAUUUCACAACAAGUCUGCAUAAAUAUAAUCAUCAACCACCACCACUACUACUUCCCCACCUCAAGUCUUUAUAUUUAAUAAAUAUGGAGAGGAUGAGUGAUGUGUGGAAGUGCAAUUGGAAGAAACUUGUAAUUCAUCAAAACCAAUCACAAUCCUACUCAUUCCACAACCUCACAAUCAUACACAUGGAAAAGUGUCAUACCAUAAAGUACUUAUUUUCACCUGUCAUGGGCAAACUUCUUCCCAACUUAAAGGAUGUCUGGAUACAUGAGUGUGAUGGUAUUGAAGAAGUUGUUUCAAAUAGAGAUAUUAAUGAUGAAAAUGAAGAAAUAAUAUCUUCUACUCACACAAACACCAUCUCCUCCUUCCCUCUUCUUGAUUCUCUCUACCUUUUUAAUCUGCCAAGCCUAAAGAGUAUCGAUGGCGGUACUACAAUCACAACUACUUCCAUCCAUGAUCAGUUCCAGGUAUAUUUGAUUUCUUUUAAGCGAAUCCUUUACAUAUUUCAGUUAUUUGUUUUAUUUAAAUAUAUAUUUAUUUUUAAUAUUCUAUUUUCCAUUAGCUGCUUUAUAUAACUCCCUAAGCUAAUUCUUCUGAAGCUGGAAAGACAAAAAUAAAUAACUACAUGCAUAGUAUUUAAUAGUUUUUUCAUUUGCGUAGGUCAUUAAGUUGAUUUAGGAUAAGACCGGAUUGUCAGGGAGAGAAAAAAAUUGAUUGAUGGAUGUAUAUAAGUCAUAUGAAAAAUAGAAAAAAAAUGAUUUUAUUGAUGCUUUUUUUUGUUCUGUUUUUUUUUUUUUUUUUUUUUUUUUUUGUUUUGUUUUGUUUUGUUUCCUAGCAUGCUAGUUUGGCUUAGUAAAAUUCGGUUUGUUGUUUAAGAGAAAUAUCUUUUUUGCUGACAUUGAACAAAACAAUAUGAAACUUUAUGUAGCUGUAUCUAAUGUGCCAACUGAAAAUAUAUAAAUACAAUAUGUGACAAUAGGCUCCUGUUUACAAUUUCUUUUGUACCAGAAAAGUGUGCUAUUCAAAAUAUUAACUUUAAGACAUUGAACUAUUAUAGAGUCAAAUGUCAAUGUUGUCAAUUUUGGAAAUAUCUCUAGAUCUUAAUUUAUCAAGUAUAAUUAGCCAACUUUUUACUGAAAAGGACUCCCUUGAAAAAAAUCUUUGUUCUAAAAAUGCUUUCGAUCUAUUUAGCAUAUUAGAAUUAAGAUAGAUUUUAUAAAAAUACAAUUAAUGAAAAUUUAUAGAUGUAUAAUAAAUUAACAUGAAGAAGAUGAUGCAUGUAUAAUAAUUUAACCGUUCAUGUUAGUAAAAUUAUUUAAAACAUGAAGAAGAUGAUGCAUGUAAUCAAUGCAGGUAUGGAAAUAUAAGCAUAUUGAUUGCAAACUCAUUUCCUAAUAAUAAAUAAAUUUAGAAGUACAAUUAUGUUUUCAUUUUCUCACAUUGAGGGGGUAAUGGGUUAUAUAGUCCAAUGAUAUUUGUUUUCUCUUCAUAAAUCAUGGCACUAUAAUAAUUUUGAAUGGGGCCAUAUACAGAAAACCAUUAUAUUUUAGUCAUUUUUUUCUGUUCAACAUAUUUUCAUUUACUUUCUUAUUAUAGCAUCAUACUUUCAUUUCUUCCAGUUAUAGCAUCAUACUUUGAAAAAUAUACCCAAUUACACAUGGCUACAAUGGCUUGAUAAGAAAAGUUGAAAGUAGAAUGCUAUAAAUGGGUGGAUUUUGAAAGUACCUAUAUGCUGGUCUUGGGUCAUUUAUUAAAGGCUAAAAUGCUAGAAAUAGCAAUUUACUUUCAUCGAUUUGCUUAUCAGAGCAUCAUACUUUCUCUUUUUCCUAUUAAAGCAUUGUAGUUUAAGAAACCCACCCAAUUAUAGCAGUGUCAUCUAAAUACAAUGGAUUUCUGUUGCUGUAAUANNNNNNNNNNNNNNNNNNNNNNNNNNAGCAUAUUCAUAUAUAUAAAUAUAUAUAUAUAUAUAUAUAUAUAUAUAUAUAUAUAUAUGUUGAUUAAUUGCUAAUAAAAGUACUUCAAAGUCUGUUCAUUUUCAAGUUUUAAUUUGAAUAAAUGCUAAUUAAUUGUGUUAAUUAGCACCCUGGCAGUUUUGUUUUUUCUUGUUUCUAUUUUCUUUUUUGUAGCUGUUCAAAAUCUCCUGUAAGCCUAUAUAAUUAAGGCCCCUUUUAUGAUUGAUUUAGUGUACCUUUUCUUUCAUCCACCAUCUACUUGUUCUCUCUUGCCAACAAUAUAAAGCAUAGCAUACAACUGUUUUCUUGUUUUUCGUUAUUUGGCUAUACAUAUAACAAGGGUAUUUUGGUCAUUUGACAAACCGUCUUCCUUAAUGGAGUGGAGUCCAAACACCACAGUCUGAUUUCUCUUAAUUCAAAUUUUCACCAUAAAAUCCAACAUGAACUUUGUCUUUUAAACAAUUUGAAUCCUUCAAAAAUAGGCCCAGAUUUUGUGGCCUAGGUGGUCUUCUAUAAUAAACGAAUAAUUGGAAAUGCGGUGCUAUUUCUUGCAUUUAGCCCUUCUUCAAUACAAACAAGUAAAGUUCAUAGUUACAAAAUUUUGCAUAUUUUAUGGUUUAUAUUAUGCUUUUAUGUGUUUAUAGACGUGUUCCUGCAGACAUGUGUGAAAUAUAUAUGUUGAUUAAUUACUAAUCAAAGUACUUCAAAGUCUCUUCAGUUUCGAGUUUUAAUUUGAAUAAAUGCUAAUUAGUUGUGUUAAUUAGCACCCUGGCAGUUUUGUUUUUUCUUGUUUCUAUUUCCUUUUUUCUAGCUGUUCAUAUUCUCGUAUUAGCCUGUAUAAGGCCACUUUUAUGAUUGAUUUAGUGUACCUUUUCUUUCAUCCACCAUCUACUUGUUCUCUCUUGCCAACAAUAUAAGGCAUAGCAUACAACUGAUUUCUCGUUUUUAGUUAUUCGGUUAUAUAUAACAAGGGUAUUUUGGUCAUUUGACAAACCUUCUUCCUUAAUGGAGUGUCCAAAAACCACGAUCUGAUUUCUCUUAAUUCAUUUUUUCACCAUAAAAUCUAACAUGAACUUUGUCUUGUAAACCAUUUGAAUCUUUCACAUGUAGGCCCAGAUUUUGUGGCCUAGGUGGUCUUCUAUGUUUAUGCUGAUUCUGUGUCUUUCAGAAGUAUGCUUCUUAUGAUCCUUCCACUCUCUUCAUGUCGUUGAUUCUGUCUGUCACCAUCAGAACCUCAUAAAAGUUUCUGCUGAGGUGUCAUGCCAGUGGUGACCUGGAAUUUGUGAAAAGUCUAAUGCCAUUUAUUUUCUCUUCAUAAAUCAUGGCACUCUACUUCAGCUUGCCUUAUGAAAUCCACCCAAGUUUGGAGAAAUGUUCUAUGCUGACCACUUUGACCUGCUAUAGCAGGUUAAAGUGGUCACAAUAGAAAAUUUUGUCAAAGUUGAGUGGCUUUAGUGAAAUUAAGUGGACUAAACUUUGACAACCUUUUCAAUUAUGACCACUUUAACCUGCUAUAGUAGGUCAAAUUUGUCGAUAUAGAAAGAAAUUUCAAACUUGGGUAGGUUUGAUGAGCUAAAACUGAAAUGGAAUUGUUAAACUGCAAAAAAAUGGCCGAGAUAUAUUGCCCUUUUGUAGUUCAACUUACAUUGUCGACGUUACUGAACUACCUUAGUUUUGGGAAGCACUUGUGCAUGUACAUAGCAAACAGCUAAGCUUUGUUAAUUUAAAUAGAUCCAUUGAUUUUUCAUGUGUUGUUGUAGUGUUCUCAAGUCGGUGUUGCUUCUUGGUUCUUAUGCCAAUACUCCAAACACAUACAUAUAUGGAAUUGUCCUGCCCUAUCAAGAGUGUUUCCAUCCAAUGUAGUGGGACAACUGAAUAAGCUUGAAGUGUUGAGCAUAUCAGAUUGCAAGUCAAUGGUGGAGAUAUUUGAAAGUAAAGAAAUAAACAAAGAUGGUGUUGAUAGUACUACGAAUGUUGGUGAUGGAAGUGAUGAUACUUGUACUGCAAUCACCAUCCCAAGGUCGGCUAAUAUGACUCUGCUUCAAUUGUCCAACCUAACGAUAUUGAGAAUCUAUGACUGUGAAGUAUUGGAAUAUAUAUUCACAAGUUCCACACUUGAAAGCCUCAAGCAACUCAAAGAACUGAUGGUAGUUAAAUGCAAGGCAAUGAAAGUGAUUGUGAAGGAAGACGGAGAUUUACCAGAACUCAAGGGUUUCUUCCGUCGUCUCAAGUCCCUUACACUUGUAGAUUUACCAGAUCUGAAGGGUUUCUUCUUGGGGAAGAAUGAGUUCAGGUGGAAAGCAUUGGAAAAGGUUAAGAUUUAUGGCUGCCCACAAAUGAUGAAUUUCACAUCUGGUCACUCCAUGACUCCGAAGCUCAACUACAUACAUACAGGAUUAGGCAAGCAUAGUCUUGAAUGUGGCCUCAACUUCAAUUUGACCAAUGUUACACAAGAGGUAUGUUGUUACUUUACUUCAUCAUUUAACCAGAUGAUCAGCAUGUUGUUUUAUGAUGUUCAACAUAUUAUUUGCUUACAAAUUUAGAUGGUUCAUAUGCAAAACAUAGUAUUUGCUUACACUAUGGGGGGUUUUUCCAGGUCGGUUCAUAUGUGUAUUCCGGAAGAAACACAAAACAAAACCAAAUGAAGAUACAUAUAUAACCACUUCCCAUCUUUUGUAUCUAUAAAAAGUUACGAAAAUAUGCAAUUUUUUUUAUUAUAAGUUAAUAUUUCAUUCCUAAGAUAUUAAGUGGUCUCUUAUGUUAUAAAAGAUGUUAUAUUCACUAAUUCAUAAGUUAGCAAUUUAAUAUUUUAAUCAAGUUAGAUGAAGUAAAGACAAAAGGCCCAAUUGACAUAUUCACUGAGGGUGGUUUUUUCCAUGUCUAAAGAUUUUUGAACAUAUACUAUACUAGUUUCCGUUUGAUCAGAAUCAGAUCAACAACCCCUUCUUCUUUACAGUGUCCCUAUUGUAACCACAAAAAUCAACAAAUACAGGGACCAAAUUUGCAGUUUUCGCUAAAACGUAUUUUAAUUUGACAAAAAAAUUGAUCGGUUUGUAGAAAAACAAAGUAUUCAAUUAAAGGAAUAACAAAAUAAGCACCUAAGAAAAAGUGCUUCUAAAAUUCACAAAAUAUUUACGUUCCUUAAAAAUACAAGACUUAAGAAUUUAUAUCAAAUAUAUGAACAUAAAAAAUUAUUUUCUUGUGUAUUACAAAUGAUACUUGGCAAGUUCAUUCUUAUUCAAAUCAUUUGUAAAUUUCAUAGAAUGUGAUCGUUUGGUACCUGACAUAAAUCAUUUAUUAGGAACUUAGAACUAACAUCUUCAUUCGGUUAAGAAAAGAAAACACAAAAUAGAUGGAAAUUGAAGCAUUGCCUCAUUUUACAUAUUUUCACUCAUAUCUGUUAACAAAUAGAUUUUUGUAUGGAAGUAUAUAUUGUAAUUAAAUCAUUUAUAUCGUUUUCAUCCAAUUUAAUUCAAUUAUCUAACAUAUUUUAUAAAUAUUGUGAUGCUAGUUGUUACUUAAUCAAGUUCUUCUUUUCUCUCUCAUCUUUUACAAGGUAAACAUUUUUUUAGCGUUUAUUACCUAAAAUUGACGAAAAUAGUAUAGCUGAGAUGAUUGUAAAAGUGUAAGUAUAUCAUCCAUAUAUCAUUUGUUGUAUUUGACAAUGCCAUAAAAAAUACAAUAACAUAAUUAUCUUUUUUCCUAAAAAAAUUGGAUGUAAAUAUUCAGUACAUGAAAAAUUACCCUUUUUGAAGUAGCCAAAACACUUAACUUUUACUUUUUAUUUUAUCCCCCCCACCCACCCACUCACCCACAAACUAUCAUUUUUACUUUUAUUUAAAAAGACUCGACAAUCAUCGAUAACAAUCUAAAUUAUUUGAGCAAAUGCAAUAUAUAAAGCUGAAAUUUUCUUCAUGGUGCUCAUCUUCACAAAAUAUAAUGUAAGCAGUGUCAUAAACUAGGUUGUUGAUUGGAAAUACAUGUUGGCUCAUUGAAGAAUAACAUAACUUGCAAUCCUUAUUAUGUUUGUAAUAUUAAAUGUAUUUUUCUUUAAUAAUUGUCGUGUUUGUGAUGAUCUAUCUAUGUUUGAUUUUUCUUAGCAGACUCAACUUCCUAUGUGCUCUAUUCCAGAUAUGAUAAUGCUAGUUCAGUUCCCAUGGUCUUUUUCAAAUUUAGUUGAAGUAGAUGCACAAGGGAGUGACAAAUUGUUGAAAAGCCACAUAAUUUUUCCAUGCAAGGAGUUGCUGAAUUUGAAGAAUCUUGAAAAGCUUUCUAUUAUUACCAGCAAGUAUGGUGAAUCUAAAAUAGAGGAGGUAUUUGAAGUAGCAGAAGGGACAAAUGAAGAUGUGGAUAUUGAAACACAAUCUGUUGUGGUAUUUGAGAAGCUGAAAGAGGUGACUUUGGGUAGAUUAAAUAAUCUGAAGCAUAUGUGGAAGAGCAAUCGGUGGAUAGUGUUGAACUUUCCAAACCUUACAAAGGUCUCAAUUGAAAGUUGUAAGCUUCUUGGACACGUUUUCAGUAGUUGCAUGGUUGGCAGUCUAUUGCAGCUCCAAGAGCUACAAAUAAGUAACUGCGAGAGUAUGGAUGUGAUUGUGAAGCAAGUUGAAGAUUCCAAAACCAGACCGACUACAAAGGUUGUGUUCCCUUGUCUAAAAUCCAUAACACUUGAAAUGCUUCCAAAUCUCAAGGGAUUUUGCCUGGGGAAGGAGGCUUUUGAAUGGCCAAUAUUAGAUACUUUGGAAAUCAAAGAUUGUCCAAAAAUAACAGUUUUCACAAAUGGGCAAUCAACUACUCCAAAGCUAAAACUAAUAGAUACAACUUUUGGAUUGUGUCAUGCAACGGAAGACCCAAACUCUUUCAUAAAGACCAAACAAGAAGAGGUAUAUGGUGUCUCCUUUGGUUAUUAGUAACAGAUUAAUAUGUUUGAUCCAACAAAACGUUUACUUUACUCUCGAAUUUACAACUUAUUGUAAUCUCCUCUCCUACAGGGAUGGGAGUUCUAGAGCAACAUCAAAUUCACACGUGCGGUUUGGUUCGUUUUGAAGUUAGCUAUAUAGCACAGGUAAGAUUACAUUGUACACUUAUUUCCUUCUUCCCAAUCAUGUACAUGUUUCUCCACCUUAGUUAUCUGAUCAUUGAAUUGACUUUUUGUCACAGUUGCUUGCUUACUACUCUUUCAAUUCGGGUUAUUGAACUUCUAUUUUCAAGUAAUCUUAUCUAUGAUGUGUCCACUUCUUGUAUUUAAUUAAGCUGUGACCAACUUAGCAAUAAUUACACAAGUUUUUAUUAAUUGGUCUGUACAUGUUCCACUAUUUUAAAUAGUAAAUAAAUUCAGUGGUUGAAGGUGCAUAGAAUGAUAGUCCAUCGUACAUGAAACUUUCUUAGCUCACACCGGGUAAGAAAGAAAAAAAAAGUAUGAAGCUAAUUUGUUAUAACAUAAAACUUCUCUUAAUUCAACAGAUCUGUGCUCUUAAUUUUUAUGAACACCCGGUGUUUGAUAAAAUUCUUCAAUGAAAAAAGACCCAUAAACUUUUGGCUCCUCUUUUAAGUCAAGUGUAUUAAUGUUUGUUUUGUAUAUGAGCACUUAAAUCUUGAGGAAGCGACUCCAUUUCUCUCUUGUAAGUUGAGUGUGUCAGUGUCACCCAUAUAAAAGCUUUGUUUUUCAGUCUCUGAAAUAAAAAGAAUAAAAUUUGGUUACAAAUAUCUUAUGUUCAGUGCAGGUUUCCAUCGCCACCUUCAAUGAAUCUGUCUCAUGAUGAUUUUGAGUUAACAAUUGUUCACUAAACCUAGAUAAGUUACAAUUAUGCCCAUGACUAUGAGCCAUCCAUUGAUUAUUUUAAACCUAUUUGAGAAACAGAACACUUAUGCAUAUUAUCUGAUUUUUGAUGCAUCUGAGGUUUAACAUUUUUUUUAUAAUCAAAUUUAGUUUGAUAUUGGAGUUGUCAUUAUUUAUAAUCACGCUCAGAUUUUGAAAAUGCCACUUAUGUAGAAAUUAUUUGAUGAAAAAAACAUUAUAUUUUCAUUCAUUGUUUAAUUUGUCACUUUGUGCAUGUUUUUGUCGACAUACGGUUGUACCAUAUGAUGACAUGAAAAUUUUUAUGUGGUGGCUGGUUUAGUUGGAUUAAAAGACGUUACCUGUCAAGUUGAUUUUAUGCAGUGGCGGGCUUAGUUAGAAAUAUUUGAUGAAAAAACAUUACAUUUCCAUUUCUUCACAAUCUUCAAACCUUUGGUCAUUUAUUUAAAGUUGCGUAAUGAUCAAUGUUGCAUACUUUAUGUCAGUUGCAUAAAUUUGUAAUGAAAGUGAAACACUGUUGCAGAAUUUGUCUAAAAAAAAUAAAAAAAAUUGGUGCAUAAACUGGUCCUAGAAUGAAACAUAGUUGAAUAAUGAAUAUUAUGUCUAAAAAAAUAUUUUGUUGCAUAAAUUGACUAACAUGUGCAAUCAAUGUCCGUGGCUUAAACAUGUUAAAUCAUAUGGUUAAAAAUGUAAUUCACUCACUUUUCUUAGAAGCAUAUGGUUCCGAAUACAAAUAGAAUCCUAAUAGAUAGAUGAAAAUAAAAUCAUAUUCCUAACCAUCAAACGGCUCCUAGGUGAUUACUUCUUCCCUUUGCUCGACUCAAACGGCUCUAGCUUCGGCCGCAAAGAGUUGACGUUUGAGAUUGGCUAUUUCUUUCUCAAGAGAGUGUAUGUAGUCUGUAUCACUUUCCUUAAUAGUGUGUGAGUCUGAUAGGGCUUCCGAUGGGUGGGGCUUACUAGGUGUAUCCUUAACGUCCUUUCCUUCAUCUGACUCCUGGUCAGAUUCAUCAUAUUCGUAAUCAGUUACCACGUACUCUUCCGGUUCCACUCCGGGUCCCACCUCCCAUUGUAGGGCCUCCUUCAGGCUUUUCUUCAGGAUUGUCAUCUAGACCCACCUCAAUCUCCCUAUAGACUACUAGAGCUUGAUAGUAGGGGUCGUCUUGCUGCAUUCCUGCCAUAUUGCCCGCGUGGGAAGUAUAGGUGUGAAAAGUGUGUGCAUUGGGGUGUAUAAGGAUAGUAUUCUUAAAAUACUCCUACAAUGUUUAUUUUUCUUAAGUUUAGUUCCUUUAACCUAUUUGGAUAGUUAGAUGGUAAGCUUUCGGUUUAUUGACCAUCACGAUUAUUCCCAAACAUAUGUUGAUCUUACUUUGAAUGAAUGUAGUUGAUUAGGCUACAUUGAUCCCCAAUACGAUUACAUAACUGCCCUGAUUAAAUCGCAAUGUUCAAAUCCCCCAAAAACUUUUAUUGUAUAGUAUCAUGCUAUUAUUCUAAAACACGCACAUAGGUAAGUAUUUUAUUUACUCUGUUCAGAGUUAUUUAGCCCCAUUGUGUUUAUAGUUGCAUAUCAUGUAUGCUUAGAUAUGUUAGUUCACUAUAAACAAAGCUCUGAUACCAACCUGUCACACCCCUGAACCAGACGACGGAAACGUCCGGGGGUUCGUGUGACUUAAAUUGAAAUAUUAUCACAAUGAAUAUACAAGAAACAUAACAUAAACAUGACCAUGCAGUAAUACAUUACAACUGACCUUGUUCACAUCAAGUACAUUGUUUACAUUACAAUAUCACAGAGCAUAAAUUGUUUAACGAUUGACAUUUGCACAAAAGAAAGAAAAAGGGAAGAGGGAAAAGGGAAGAGGGAAAGAAAGAAUGGCAUGGAAACAUGAGAUCAUGCAUAGUCACAUGUUGUGUAAUAUGCUUAGAUGACCACUGAACAAUAAUGAGGUGGCUAGCACUCAUUAAUCUUCUUAGUUUCUCCGUUUUUGUAUUGGGCCGAAAUGGGCUGAAGAAAGAGGAAAGGAAUCACUUUGGCCCAUUCUUGGUCUUGCUCGAAAGUGUGAAGUCUCUAUACAAGUUUUCGGCCCAUUGGGCCUUUAGGGUAGUUCAUGGCCCAAUGAAAUCCAAUUGGAGAGGGUUUACGGUCCAAUAAGGAAUUUAAUUCACUUAUGGCCCAAUAAGGCCCAUUAGUGUAAAAUGAUCCAUUCUAGACCCAUAAGGCCCAAAAGGUUAAGUUUCAUGAAAGUGGGUCCAAUUAGGGCCCAUUUAAGGGUUCUAAGCCCAAAGUAGUCAAAUUGAAAGCUUAUUGGUCCAUUAGGCCCAAUAAGGAAAUCCUAGUCCAUAAUGGAUUUAGGUCGGGAUUCUUAGGGUUUUCAAACCCUAACUUGACUUUGUAAUGUUUUGCAUGAAGUUUGGGCUUUAUAAUUGGAUUUUUGAUGAAAGUUUGUUGUUAUUGAAUAACAUCAUAUGCAUAUCAAGUUAUGGUUACAAUUUGUUGUCAUUGAUAUUGUUUACAAAAGUAUAGAAUUUCCUAGCAAAUUUGCUAGUUGUGACAGAUACGACCCGUAUGGGUCGAUUUGGUCAAGUCUACCGACGCAGGAGAUAAGUUCAAGAUUGAUGUUGGAAUAAGUUUUAAGAUUCCUUUAGGAUUCAAGUUUCCUUUUUUACAGUUUCUUUUUAUUAAUGUAUUAGUUUUGGAUAUUGAUUAGGUUUUUUGUUAUUAAGGAUUUGUUUAGGUUUAGCUGGACAUUAUAAAUAAAGCACCUUAGGAACACAUUUUUCUUUAUGCAUGGAAUACAAGUCUUUGACUGUUUUUUUGGAGAAUUCCCUGUUUCUCGAAUCACAGGCGGGUCGACUAAGGUUCUUACCUCCGGGAAGGAUCUUGAUCUUAUUAAAGAUCUAUGUCAGAUGCUGUUAUUUCACCACCUGAAAUAUUAACAAAAAAAAUAAUAAAAAAGUUUCCAAUUACAACUAAAAAGUUUCACUGCCCCUCCCCCAAAACAGAAUCUAGACAUCAGACAUCAGGUAGCAAUGCGAGUGAAAAGAGUGACAACAAUACUGGUAUAACUUACACCGACUCCAAAGGUGAUUUGGAGACACAAAAUAGGUAUUUUAAACUUCUUUCAAUCAUGGAAAUAAAAAGAGUUAGUUACAAGAAUUGUCCUUGUGUUAUACCCAAAGUUGCAUAUUCAAUCCAACUUUGUUUUUUCUGUUUCAUUUUGGUCCCUAACAUUGGUUUUUGUUUCCGAUUUAUCACUGGUCCUGUAAAAUGACAUGUAAAAAUAGUUUAAAAAUAAACAAAUUAUAGAAAACUUUACAUUUUUGUUCCUUAAGUAUGGCUGCUUUUUUGCAAUUUUGGUCCUAAAACGUUUUCUUUUGCAUUUUUUGUCCUUAGUUGACAUUCGUGUAAUGUUUUUGGUCCCGGUUCCAAAUUAAGUGACAAUUUUUUCUCUAUGGGUGUGAUUUUGCAAUUUCGAUCCCAAAAAUAGCCAUUUUACUAGGAACAAGGGAAAAAAAAACGUUAUAAAAAUCUUAAAUAAGGACCAAAUUAGCAUGACAACCUUUUGGGACCAAAAUUAAAAACAUCAGCUAUACUCAGGGACCAAAAAUGCAAUGUACUUUAAAAAGAAACAUAUGAGGGUAGAAAAUUCAUUUUAUUGUAGAAGUUGGACUAAACCUGAAAUGUUGGGAAUAACAUAGAGACCAUUCUUGUAAUUACUCUAAAAAAGAAUAAAACUUGGUAACAAAUGUCUACCUUAUAAUGGGUGCAGUCUUUCAUCGCCACCAUUAUGACGGUUUCGACUUUACCAUUGUUCAUGAAACCCUGAGAAAUGACUAUAAUGCCCUUGAUCAUGAGCCACCCAUUGUGAAGGAAACACCAAUCAAGAGCAGUUACCCUACUACUCUUGAAUCUGUCUCCGAGUCAAUCAUAAUCUAAUCAAAGUUUCCCACUCGUUCCUUUUCUUCCCCUUGUUCCACAUUAGCUUCUGAAUGCAUGAACACAACAACACCGCCUAAAAAACAACAAAUCCCUCAAAACAAUUCACAUAUAGAUUCAAGCGUCAAUUCCCAUUUUCAUAAAAGAAGAAAGUCUUCAGCUUUAGCAUCAGUCAAGAUGGCCCACUUUGAUUCCCCUGACCCUAAAACCAAAUUUCCAGUUAAAGAAACCAUGAAUCUUGAUGAUGAAACCAAGAAUGAUCUAAAAAUAUCGUGUUCACUAUGUGCAAAACCCACUGGGUCUUGCGGAAAAUGACUAUUAUGUCCCUUGUUCUUUGAUGUCGUUAUCUAAGGUGCAGUUGGUGUCAAGUUGGAAAGGGAGAGAAAAGGGUCUCACAUGUGUAGCUGUUGUGGUGUCUGAUAUUACAUGUGUUGAUGGGAGAAUUUGGAGCAAAGAAGAUGGAUGUGUAUUAAAUACGGCUUUCUACCCUUUCUGUAGUGAUCAAGUCAAUUGCCUUGGGUUACAUGUUGUGGCAACUGAUUCCUCUAAUGUGUAGCUUUUAAACAAGGUAUCAUAUCAAUUCAUACUAUUAUAAUAUCUUGUCGCAUAUCCAACUGAUAAUUAUUGAGGGCAUAUUGGUUAUUUUGUUGAUUUAUGUUUUGGGAGUUGGGAGUUGGGAUGUGAUGAAUAUGAUCACAAAAUAUCUUUGAUCCUUCAGAGAUAUACAACCAACUUAUAUAACUUUUCUAUAUGCAGGUGCUCUUUUAUUCUGAAAGACUAGAAAUCCAACAUAUCGAUACAUCAACAACAAAUAACGUAAUUUUGCAUACGUUUCAAAUCGAAAGUGACUCCCUUAAAACAUUUGCAACUUUUGUCUUAUUGAAAUCAGGCACACAGUCCCAAUCCAAUACAUACCAAAUGCAGUACAACCUGUUUUUUCAUAUACCGUCAUGUGUAACAAACUGGAUUUUAAUUGUAGGAAGUCUCACCUUCUAGUGUUACAAGUUUGAGUAAAGGCGUCUCACAAAAUCCGUUUGAGAAAUUUGCCUACACAUCUCCACAAACCAACUUGAUAGGUUGAAGAACCACAAAAUCUAAGGUCAAAAAUCUAUAAUAUCUUGUUAUUUAUAGAUUCAUUAAACGUAUUUUAAAUUCUAGUUAAAGUUAAACUAUGUUUGUUGAUCAUGCAGAUGAGAUUACCAAAGAAAGUCCAAGUAUCCACUUCUGAAUAUUAAUGCCUAACCUUACAUGUAAAUUCUCAAUCAUUGCUAAAUUGGUUUUAAACCUAUUUGGGAAAUUUAGGAUCUAUGGUUAUUAUAUUAAUUUCAUGAUACAUUUGAGGUGUAUGACCAAUAAAAUGUGACUAUUGUAGUUGUAACAUUCUUUAUGACCAGCCAUAGUUUUAAUUUUGUUGUUUAUAAUGUUAUUUUCCUGCUUUUGGACAUGUUAAAUAAUCAACUCUAAUACGUUUUAAUUAAAGAUAUAAUAUUUUGAUGUAGAAAGUUGGAAUGAUCAAAUGAUUAGUAUUUAGUAGGUUAAGUGUUUUUAAUGAUAAAUAAAAUAUUUUUUACUAUAAAAUAGCCAACAAGACCAUAAAAGUAAUAUUUUGCUAAACAUGAAAUUAUAUUUCACUAAUUCAACCAUUUAAACCCUCGUCCAAGAAAACCAAUGGGACCAUUAUGGACUAUGAAAAAGAGAAUACGGAAAUGAUAGAUGUUGAAAUGAUGAAAGAAAUAUCUUACUUAAAUUUGUAUCACUCUUUAUUGUCUAAUCAUUUCCCAUUUUCCUAUUUGUUUUUCAUUUUUCAUUAGGCUUCAUGAUUUUUGUAGAUGGUGGUUUCCUGAUAGUGAGGUCAUAGAUUAAAUUUAUGUAAAUUUGUGCGUUCAAAUGUUAAAGGUCAUUCGAACGUAUUUGCUAUUGAUAUUUGAUUAUUUUUGCUAUCAUUAAUUUGGCUCAAACGGAAAAGUACAACUCUUUGCAGUUAGAUAAAAAAAAUUGUGAUCGAAUUUACUUUGACUGCAUUGAUAAAAUAUGAAACAAUUAAAGAAGUUUGCAAUCACGUGGACAUAUUGCGUACUCAGUCUAAUUUUGAUAAGUGGUACCGGUUAGAGUCAUAUAUUCAAACACUUCAAUCUAAUACUAUGAGUGUCCAAGAUUUUUUGUUAGGACGUUUUGUUAUUAAAAGUUUUGAACUAUUUUUUCUCAUUAUUUUAAACCAUUUAAUUUAAUAUGAUAUGGUUUUUUAAAACACAUGUUUUAGUUGUUAAAUUAAAUUAUUACAUAAGCUUUUUCAAAUAUUAGACCAACUAAUAAUCAUCCCACUAAAUACAAUUAUUUUGAAAUUUUUUACAAAUUCUCUUUUUCUUUUUUGCAAAGGGAUGCCCAAAAUUAGGGUGAUAUAUAUGUGGUGUAAAUGAAAUAUCACAUAUUAAGGUGGGGUAGGGAUCCGACAUUGUAUCGUGCUUCAAUAGAAACCGGUGGGACCUUUGACUGUUAGUAUAUUACUUGUGCUAUACUCUGUAGUAUGUUAGGCAAUGCUCUUAGUACCUAGAUUAUGACUGUUGACUGCAUUAUUUCCAUCCAUCCAAUACCAUGGUAUUUGCAGGUCAACAGCAAUAAUUGAGGCUUGUUCAUACUUCAAUAUAUUGGCCUUCUUCUUCACAAUUCCAACCAGUUGUACACAUACGCACUUUACAAAGCAGCAAAAACAGCAAGCAUUAGCACAGGCGCAUAUAGUAGAAGAGGUAUGUUUUUGUUGAAAGUUUUUCUCUUUGUUUAUGAAUAAUUUUUCUUAGUUGUUUUUAGUUUUCAAUCUAUCGAUCCUUGACGAAAUUAUCUGAAAAAAAUGUUUUGCUUUGUUACUUGUUGUGGAUUGUUCGUGUAUGCUCCACAUAUAAAAUCAAGUCAAUGUUUAAAUGAAUGACAAUGCCUCCUCAUUUUCCCUCUUUUGAUUAUUGAACAAUGUUUUGGAGGAAUGGUUUUCUUAGGACAGAUGCUUCCACGUAGAGAUCAGUUCUAGCCCUAAUAAACCCCCUAAUAGUAUCACUGUGGGACUCUGUUUCCAACUAAUAGAUACCCUAAUUAAAAGGCACGGUAUUUUGUUCCUCAUCUCUCACAAUUUUACAUGAUGAUGAAGAUGUUGAAAUUAACAAUCUAUUCCCACUUUCAAUCAUUUCAAAGAAAACCAAGGUUAAGUUGACAAGGGAAGACAAACAGCAAAAUUAACUAUGAAUUUACAUACACAUUAAUUUACCAACUAUCAAUUCUAUUCUAGCCAAACUUAUUAUGUGUCCUGAAUCCUGAAGGAAACUUUUUAUAACACUAAUUAUCUAUGGAUUGUAUAUGAUAUUUGAAAAAAGAUAGCUGCGCAGGCUAAUAAUUAACAACUUUUAACAAUUUCAUUGCCUUUUUUAUCUGUUACAGGUCUUUGUAAAAGCUAGAAUAUUGAAAGAUGGAGCUUGUAUCUACAAUCAUUAGUCCUAUUGUUGAAUCUUUAAUUGCUCCUGUCAAGAAACAACUGAGAUAUCUCUUUUCGUCCACGAAACAUGUUAGGAACAUGAAUACUAAAAUAAAGCUACUGGAUGAUACAAGCCGUGAUGUCAAAAAGCACAUGGAAACAAACAAUAGAAGUAAUCUGGAGAUACCUACUCAUGUACUGGGGUGGUUGAAAGAAGUCGAAAAGACUAAAGAAAAAGCUCAAAGCAUUCCAAGUACUGGGAACGGAUGUUGUAACUUGAAAAUGAGGUAUCGAGCUGGAAGGAAGGCAUUCAAGACUACGGAGGAGAUGGAAAGUCUUAUUGAUGAAAAUAGUAAGAUAAUUUGGACAAAUGCUCAAAGACCUCUUGGGAAAGUGAACUCAGAAAUCGCAUCCAGUUCUGCACCUUCGGAUGGUGAUGCCCAAAAUCACUUCAAAUCAAGAGAGAAGUCUUUUAAGAACGCCUUGGAGUCCCUCCAACAAGAUCACAAGAGCAAAGUGAUAGCCCUAUGUGGAAUGGGUGGUGUGGGGAAAACCACCAUGAUGGAGCAACUGAAAAAGGCUGCAGAAGAUAAGAAAAUGUUUGAUUAUGUUGUGAAGGUGGUUAUUGGGCAACAAAUUAACAUGCUUUCUAUUCAGCAAGAUGUGGCAGUGUAUAUGAUGGGCCAAUCCCUCACUGAACUGAGUAAAGAAGCAAGAGCAGAUCGUCUUCGUAUAACAUUUGGAAACCUUCCAGAAGGUAGAAGAAAGGUUUUACUAAUACUAGAUGAUGUAUGGGAGACGAUUGAACUCAAAGAUAUUGGACUGAGUCCUUUGCCCAACAGCUUCAAGUUGUUGUUGACAUCACGGAAUGAAAAUAUUUGCAAACAAAUUGCAGUAGAAGCUAAUUCGGAGUCGACACUAGUUCGAGUGGAUGUGAUGGAGGAGCCCGAAGCACAAAAUUUCUUUUGGCAAAUCACAGGAGUUUCAAAACAACAUGAUAUGGAGCUCAAUCAAAUAGGAAGUGAAAUUGUGAGAAGAUGUGGUUUUUUGCCCCUUGCCAUUAAACUCAUCGCUAAAACCCUUCAAUUUCAUGAAGUUUUUGUAUGGAGAGAUACUUUUCAACGGUUGAAGAAGAAGAAUCUUGAUGAGAAUGUGCAAGAAGUUAUUAAGAUAAGCUAUAAUUAUAUAAAAACAGAGGAGGAAAAGGUGAUUUUUCUUCUGUGUGGCUUGUUUCCUGAUGACUUUAAUAUCCCAAUUGAGGAACUCACAAGAUAUGCAUGGGGCCUACAGUUAUUAAGUGAAGUAUCCACUUUGGGAGAGGCUAGAGACAGGACAAAAAUGUGUGUGCAGAAUCUUAGAAAUGCAAAUUUGUUGAUGGAUAGCGAUUGGAUUGGGUGUGUCAAAAUGCAUGAUCUUGUGCUUGCUUUUGUCAUAAGUAGAGUUUCUAAAGGUCAUCAUCCAUGGAUAAUCAACCAUGGUGAUGUUUCAAAGUGGAGUAGAGCUGAAGUGAAAGAGUCUUGCAAAAGAAUCUCUAUUACUUGCACAGGUAUGUCUGAGUUUCCUGGUGACUCUAAGUACCCAAACCUAUCACUUUUGAGACUUAUGGAUGGAGAUAAGUCGCUUAAGUUUCCUGAAGGUUUUUAUGAAAAAAUGGAAAAUCUUGAAGUUGUAGCAUAUGAAAAAAUGCAGUAUGCGUUGCUUCCCAGAUCACUUGAAUGCUCCACCAAGCUACGAACACUCAUUCUCCAUAAAUGCUUAUUGAUGUUUGAUUGCUCUGUUAUUGGUGAACUCUUAAAUCUCGAAGUGCUUAGUUUUGCACAUUGUGGCAUCAGAAAGUUACCAUCCACAAUCGGAAAGUUGAAGAAGCUAAUGCUACUGGAUUUGACGGGCUGUAUCAAUCUUCGUAUUGAUGAUGGUGUCUUGAAAGAUUUGGUCAAUCUUGAAGAGCUUUAUAUGAGAGUUGCUGAUGAAAAGGCAAUUAGGUUCACAAACAGCAAUCGUGCUGAAUUAGCAGAGCUUUCAAAGCACCUUUUUGCAUUAGAAGCUGAGUUCUUUGACAACAACAAUACACCCGAGAAUAUGCUGUUUACUAAACUUAGAAGGUUCAGGAUCGCUAUGGGAUGUGGUUUAGUAGCCAAUACUGACAAAAAUAUGCACUCAUUUGAAAACACGUUGAGGUUGGUCACUAACAAGAAUGAGCUAUUGGAAUCUGGAAUGAAUGAGUUAUUUGAGAAAACUGAGGUGCUUUAUUUGGAGGUGGAUGGUAUGAAUGAUCUUGAAGAAGUUUUAUUGGAAUCAGUUCAUCUCCCUCGAUCGGUGUUUAAUAAUCUAAGAGUCCUUGAUGUGUUCAAAUGUGAAAACUUAAGAUACCUCUUUACAGUCCCUAUUGCAAAUGGUCUGGUGAAGCUUGAGCGCCUCACAGUUUCAGAGUGCUCUGUUCUUGAAGUACUUGCACGUAGUGAGAAUGGUGUAGCUGGGAAAAUUAAGUUUCAGGAGCUAAAGUUUCUAAGUUUGAAAAGCCUACCAAAGUUGAUAGGUCUUUGCAACACUACUAAUGUAAUUGAGCUACCACAGCUGGUGGAGUUGGAACUUGAUGGCCUUCCUAACUUCGGUAGCAUUUAUCCAAAGAAAACAUCUGCAACAUCUUCUAUGUCCAGUAAUGACUCUGCAAUUCAACCAUUCUUUAACAAACAGGUAAUUCUAUAUUAGGAUUUAUGUUGACAGUUUCAUAGAUUGUCUUGUAAUGAAAGUCUGUAUUGAUUGGAUUGUGAUCCCCCAAGCAAACUAUUUUCGAUUUUGGUUUCACUAUUGAUGAUUAACAAGUCUUAAUUGUUGUGCAGGUGCUGAUUCCUAAGCUGGAGAUAUUGGAAAUUGGGAGGAUGAAUAAGCUGAAAGAGAUAUGGCCUUAUCAAUCUAGUAGUAGUGACGAAGUUAAUGCCUGCAUGUUGAGAGAGAUUAGAGUGAGGGAAUGUGAUAAUCUUGUGAAUCUGUUUCCAACCAAUCCCAUGUCUUUGCUGGGUCGUCUGGAAGAGCUUGUUGUUUCUAAUUGUGGAAGCAUUGAAGUGUUAUUUAACAUCGACAUGAGUUGUGUUGGUGAAAUUGAAGAAUACAGUAGCAACUUGAGACUCAUUAAUGUAGAUGGUUUGGGGAAGCUAAGAGAGUUGUGGAGGAUGAAAGGUGAAAGUAGCUCUGAUAUCCUCAUCCGUACCUUUCAAGCUGUUGAAAGUAUAGAAAUAAGAGAGUGUGAGAGGUUUGUAAACGUAUUCACACCGACCGUGAGCAAUUCUGAUGUGAGGACACUUAUGAAUGUGAGUAUAGAUGGAAGGAGACCUUCUGAAGAAACCAGGAGCAACAUUGAAUUGAUUCAGAACAGCCAGGAGGUAUGUGAUGUCAUUGAGCUUUCAAUUUCUAUUUUGAUGUUUAUAACUUAUGUAUAUGUGUCUCUAUACAUACAUACACGUAUAUAAUAUAUCACACUAUAACAAAUCAAUCAAUUCCACACAAUUCUUUCGAUGUGUUCUGCUAGAUUCUCACUCUUGAAUUUCAAUCACACAAGGAUGGAAAGGAGAAAUACAAGAAAUUAUAGAUCUCACACAGAAAAUUGAUGAUCUAAUGAUUAAUUUUACAUACAUGUGAUAGAAAUCUGGCAGUUUUAGAAGCCAGGAUCUCCCAAAGAGAGUAAUCUCUAAAAUAAUUGAUAAGAUAUCUCUCCUAACUGAUCUCUUACAAUAUAAAGACAUAACUGAAAUAGUUAAUUUACAUAAUUACCCUUGCUGCCUACAAUUGCUUAUUCAUGGUUUAAAUCCUUUCUUGCCUCUUUGUGAAUAAGUAAGAAUUGGUUUAUUAUUUCCCUUCUUGCCCCUCCUUGAAUAUGUGAACAUGAGUGGUGGUCUAGCAUGUUCACACUUUAAAGUGCAAUACGAUUAUUAACCUGCGUGAAGAUAUGUAUCCUGUCAAAUUAUUUAUAAAUCUUUACACUUCAACAUGUGAUAAAAACAAAGUUAAAACUCGGAAUUCAAAAACAUGGACAAAUUAUCUAUAUCACUACUACGCUUUUAUUAUUAGCAUAUUUAUAAGCAAGUUAAUGGGGACCAAAAUUCGUAAACAAUUUAAUGGACCUAAACAAAAAAAAACAGAUAAACACAGGGACCAAUUUUGUAAUUUAGUGUGAAAAAUAUCAUUGUGUAAGUGUGUGUAUUUUACAUAUUUAUUUCUAAUUAUAUUUGUUGUUGAGAUAUGUGCAGAUUAAUGUUAUAUCAAAGACAGAGAUUUCAAAGGUGUAUGGUAAUAUCCCUGACAUUGAAUCCUCAAUUCAUCCCAAACCUUUUCACGUUAAUCACCUUCAAACACUUGUUGUAAGUGGCUGUAAGGAUGUUGAAGUGGUGUUUGAGAUAGAGAGUUCCAGUAACAGCAACAGCACCACAGAUUUCACAACAAGUCUGCAUAAAUAUAAUCAUCAACCACCACCACUACUACUUCCCCACCUCAAGUCUUUAUAUUUAAUAAAUAUGGAGAGGAUGAGUGAUGUGUGGAAGUGCAAUUGGAAGAAACUUGUAAUUCCUCAAAACCAAUCACAAUCCUACUCAUUCCACAACCUCACACAAAUAUUCAUGAGUGACUGCCAUAGCAUAAAGUACUUAUUUUCACCUCUCAUGGGCAAACUUCUUCCCAACUUAAAGAGGGUGGAGAUAUGGUUUUGUGAUGGCAUUGAAGAAGUUGUUUCAAAUAGAGAUAUUAAUGAUGAAAAUGAAGAAAUAAUAUCUUCUACUCACACAAACACCAUCUCCUCCUUCCCUCUUCUUGAUCUUCUCAACCUGUGGAAUCUCCCAAGCCUAAAGAGUAUCGAUGGCGGUACUAAAAUCACAACUACUUCCAUCCAUGAUCAGUUCAAGGUAUAUUUGAUUUCCUUUAAGCGAAUCCUUUACAUAUUCAGUUAUUUGUUUUAUUUAUUUUUAAUAUUCUAUUCUCCAUUAGCUGCUUUAUAUAACUCCCUAAGCUAAUUCUUCUGAAGCUGGAAAGACAAAAAUAAAUAACUACAUCAUAGUAUUUAAUAGUUUUUUCAUUUGCGUAGGUCCUUAAGUUGAUUUAUAAUAAGACCGGAUUGUGAGGGGGAAAAAAAUUGAUUGAUGGAUGUAUAUAAGUCUUAUGAAAAAUAGAAAAAAAAAUGAUUUUAUUGAUGCAUUUUUUUUUUGUUUCCUAGCAUGCUAGUUUGGCUUAGUAAAAUUCGGUUUGCUGUUUAAACGAAAUAUCUAUUUUGCUGACAUCGAACAAAAGAAUAUGAAACUUUACAUAAUUGUAUCUAGGUGGCAAUAGUCCUGUUUACAACUUCUUUUGUACCAGAAAAGUUUCCUAUUUAAAAUAUUAACUUUAAUACAUUGAACUAUCAUAGAGUCAAAUGUCAGUAUUGUCAAUUUUGGAAAUAUCUCUAGAUCUUAAUUUAUCUAGUAUAAUUAACCAACUUUUUACUGAAAAGGGCUCCCUUGAAAAAAUCUUUGUUCUAAAAAUGCUUUGGGUCUAUUUAAAUAUUAGAAUUAAGAUAGAUUUUUUUUACGAUAUACAAUUAAUGAAAAUUCAUUGAUGUAUAAUAAAUUAACAUGAAGAAGAUGAUGCAUGUAGAAUAUAUUAACCGUUCAUGAUAGUAAAAUUAUUUAAAACAUGAAGAAGAUGAUGCAUGUAAUCAGUGCAACUGCGGAAACCUAAGCAUAUUGAUUGCAAACUCAUUUCCGAUUAAUAAAUUUAGAAGUAAAGUUAUGUUUUCAUUUUCUCACAUUGAGGGGGUAAUGGGUUAUAGAGUCCAAUGAUAUUUGUUUUCUCUUCAUAAAUCAUGGCACUAUACUAAUUUUGAAUUGGGCCAUAUACGAAAAAACCACUAUACCCAAUUAUAUGUGGCUAUAAAUGGGUGGAUUUUGAAAGUACCUAUAUGCUGGUCUUGGGUCAUUUAUUAAAGGCUAAAAUGCUAGAAAUAACAAUUUACUUUCAUCGAUUUGCUUAUCAAAUCAUCCUACUUUCACUUUUUUCUAUUAAGAAACCCACCCAAUUAUAGCAGUGUCAUCUAAAUACAAAGGAUUUCCGUUGCUGUAAUAGAAAGAAAUGAAAGUAGGAUGCUUUAAUAAAAGAAUAAAUGGAAAUGCGUUGCUAUUUCUUGCAUUUAUCCUUUCUUCAAUACAGACAAGUAAAGUUCAUAGUUACAAUAUUUUGUAUACUUGUAUGUGUUUUAUACAUGUGUUCCUGCAGACACGUGUGAAAUAUAUAUAUGUUGAUUAAUUGCUAAUCAAAGUACUUCAAAGUCUCUUCAGUUUCGAGUUUUAAUUUGAAUAAUUAGUUGCUAAUUAGUUGUGUUAAUCAGCACCCUGGCAGUUUUGUUUUUUCUUGUUUCUAUUUCCUUUUUUCUAGCUGUUCAUAAUCUCGUAUAAGCCUGUAUAAGGCCACUUUUAUGAUUGAUUUAGUGUACCUUUUCUUUCAUCCACCAUCUACUUGUUCUCUCUUGCCAACAAUAUAAAGCAUAGCUUACAACUGAUUUCUUGUUUUUAGUUAUUUGGUUAUAUAUAACAAGGGUAUUUUGGUCAUUUGACAAACCUUCUUCCUUAAUGGAGUGUCCAAACACCACGAUCUGGUUUCUCUUAAUUCAUUUUUUCACCAUAAAAUCCAACAUGAACUUUGUCUUGUAAACCGUUUGAAUCUUUCACAUGUAGGUCCAGAUUUUGUGGCCUAGGUGGUUUUCUAUCCUUAUGCCAAUUCUGUGUCUUUCAGAAGUAUGCUUCUUAUGAUCCUUCCACUUUCUUCAUGUUGUUGAUUCUGUCUGUCACCACCAGAACCUCAUAAAAGUUUCUGCUGAGGUGUCACACUUGUGUUGACCUGGAAUUUGUGAAAAGUCCAAUGCCAUUUAUUUUCUCUUCAUAAAUCAUGGCACUCUACUUUUGCUUGCCUUAUGAAAUCCACCCAAGUUUGGAGAAAUAUUCUAUGCUGACCACUUUGACCUACUAUAGCAGGUUAAAGUGGUCACAAUAGAAAAUUUUGUCAAAGUUGAGUGACUAUAGUGAAAUUAAGUGGACUAAACUUUGACAACCUUUUCAAUUAUGACCACUUUAACCUGCUAUAGUAGGUCAAAUUUGUCGAUAUAGAAAGAAAUUUCAAACUUGGGUAGGUUUGAUGAGCUAAAACUGAAAUGGAAUUGUUAAACUGCAAAAAAUGGCCGAGAUAUUGUGAUUUUUCUGUAUAUUGCCCUUUUGUAGUUCAACUUACAUUGUCGACGUUACUGAAGUACCUUAGUUGUGGGAAGGACUUUUGUUUGUAACCACAUUUCUAGAAACAAAUAUUGCAUUAGAUUGUAGAGUGCAUGUACAUAGCAAACAGCUAAGCUUUGUUAAUUCAAUCAGCUCCAUUGAUUUUUCAUGUGUUGUUGUAGUGUUCUCAAGUCGGUGUUGCUUCUUGGUUCUUAUGCCAAUACUCCAAACACAUACAUAUAUGGAAUUGUCCUGCCCUAUCAAGAGUGUUUCCAUCCAAUGUAGUGGGACAACUGCAUAAGCUUGAAAAGCUGACAAUAUUAGAAUGUAAGUCAAUGGUGGAGAUAUUUGAAAGUAAAGAAAUAAACAAAGAUGGUGUUGAUAGUACUACGAAUGUUGGUGAUGGAAGUGAUGAUACUUGUACUGCAAUCACCAUCCCAAGGUCCGCAGAUAUGACUUUGCUUGAAUUGCCCAACCUAACGAUAUUGGAAAUCUAUGACUGUGAAGUAUUGGAAUAUAUCUUCACAAGUUCCACACUUGAAAGCCUCAAGCAACUCAAAGAACUGA